CCUCUCAUAGGAUGGGUAUUGGAGGUUAAGUUGUCUUGGAUUUGCCAUCAGGGCAUAGGAAAGAAGGUGAGGAAAAAGUUGCGGCGUCUUCUCUGGUGUGCUACGAUUUACUUCAUUUGGCAUGAGCGUAAUCAUCGUCUUCAUGGAGGUCAAGUUCGUGAGGCUAUGAUUAUUUUCCAGCUCAUUCGAUUGUGCAUUCGGGCUCGUGCUGCUUCUUGAUCGGAAGAUGUUCAUGGUUUUAUUUAGUGUGCUUUUAUUUUCUGCUUGUCCCCGAGCUGUGGGGUUUUAUUUGUCAUUGUUAUUUCUUUGGUUUAGCUUAUUUUUCUUCUCUUAUUCCGUUUGAUCUGGAUAGUGUCGUUUUCUAGACUUCUAAUUUUUAUUUUGUCUGCGAUGAUAUUUCAUAUUCUUAAUUGGUUUUUUGUUUUUGUGCUUGUCCCCGGGCCGUGGGAUUUUAUCGUUAUCUUUAGGAUGUCGUUUGGUUUUUACUUAUCUUCUCAGUGUGAGCAUUUUCCGCUUUUGUGCCUUGACCUCAGACUAUGAGGUCCUCCUUGUGGUUCUAUAAUAUUAUCAUUACCUUUUCAAAAAAAAAAAAAAAAAAAAACUAACGAAAAGAACCAAGCAAUUGAAAUAGAAAAGUAGGAAAUGAAAUAUUGCAAGCAUAUAAAGCACAUAUCAAUAACAGAAUACCGAACGAGCGACUGUCGAUCAGGUUGAAUUUGUGUGUCAUGUAACUCAUUCGACUAAAGGUCAUUCUUCAACACCUUCCUUUUUCGAUCAUGUUUUGGACUUGUAUUAUACAUCUUGAGUUGCCACACCAUGGCGACACUACGCCCAUUCUUACUUUUCUCAUUGUUUCGGUUGACAUCCAAAUAAUGUUUUAGUUUUCAGACACAUUUACCUUCUUUUUCUUUUUCUUCGCCAUCUUCAAUUUAAAUUAAUGUUAGCUCAUUUAAAUGAAAUAAACUCAAAAAGAAAAAAAAUCAACAAGAAUAAAGAUGAAUUUGGACGAGUGGACAAGUAACUUUAGCUUUAAGCAUCAAAAUACCAACCUCUUUUCAGAAAGUAAAUAUGUGCUUUUUUCUUUCUUUUUAUUCAUUGUUUUUCUACAUUUUGAUAGAAUAAUCGAACAUUUGUUAGAGAAGAAAUCAAGAAAUAAGACGUUACGUUUCUUCUCUUUCUAAUGCGUACGUGAAGUGAACAAACCAACCAAAACAAAAUAAAACAAUCGACACCUGAUUUGGAAAUUAAGCGAGACUACCACAGCUAAAAAGGGUUAUGAGUCAACAACGAAGGAAAGUGUGGAACUUCGAGUAGACUACAAGUCAUAAUCUAUCUGGGGUUUCGAAAAGGGGUUUUAGAAGAAGAUGAUUGAAUAUUUGCGAGGAACAAGGGUCGUUUCAAUUUGGACGAAGAAAUUCUAAGGUUGGGAGAAAAAAGAUUUUUGCAUCGAAGAUAGUGUCAAAUUUGGAGUUUAAAUAGAAAGUAAUAACAAGUUAGGGUGAACUUCACGUGCGUCCUCUGCCACCGGUGAAACGAACUCGCCAGUACUACUGGCGUUUGUCUCUCUAAAUAACUCGACACAGUUCACUAGGCUAUUGCGUGUUAUUGUGAGCUCAACUUGUCGUUGAAGGAACGACUUAGAAUCGAUCUUGUGGUUGUAAAGCCGUUUCGCUCUAGCAGCCUUAAAAGCACUUGAUUGCUCCUUCAAUCAGACAAAGUGUAAUUAAAAUGUUAUAUCCAAACAAAAAUUAAAUGAAUUACCGUUAAUUGAUUUUUAAGGUAGAUGUGAUAUAAAUCACCUGAAACUGUCGAGUCAUAUAGUGGUCACAAAGAAAGUGCUAAUUUGGCACUCGAUUGACCAAUAUGGGCGGUGGGUCUAUAAAAUUCAUUUUCUAAAAAACAUACAUUACACAUAGAUUAUAUAAUAUCAAGAUACAAUCUCAAAUUUACACAUCCAAUCUCAAACUUACAUAUAAAAAUUCAUACAUUUUUAUAUAAAAACAUACAUAAUAUAUUACACAUGCAUACAUCUAUUGCAUGGAUUACACGUACAAAAUUACAUAAUAGAUUACAAAAAAUACAAUGAAAUUCAAACUACACAUGCAUACAUUUCAAACUAUACAUAUUAAAACAUACAUAAUAUAUUGCACAUUCUUACAUUUCAAACUAUAUAAGUUUCAAAACAAAAAAAUAGACAAAAUUUUAUACCAAGCAAAUCAACAAUGGAGGACGAGGGUGGAGCAUGGAGCGGUGGGUGAUGGACGAGCGACGGCGAACAAUAGCGACGGACGAGCGGUGACUCUUCUUCUUCUCCCCUCUCUUUCUCUUCUUCUUUUCUUUUCUCUUUCGCAGUCUCUGUGUUAUGUGUUUACAUAACAAAUAGGGAAAGGAAAGACCGACACAACAUGAAAACGUCGACAUUUCCAGUCUUUCUCUGACAUUUCACUAAUGGUCGUAGUAAUUAAUGUGUAGACCUUUGUCGUCGUGGUCAAUGCUGACAUGGGCAAAGGUUUAAUUAUAAAAUUCAAUUUUAACAUUUGCCAACGUACGGAUAAAUCCUCCAGACUCCGGACGGAUUCAAACCUUUGCCGACGUGGUGUGUAAGAACGUCGGCAAAAGUCCAACCAUAAAACUUACUUUAUAACUUUCUCCGAUGUCCUCUGUGUCUGCGUCGAGGAGAGUGAAAUAAAAAAUUCAAUUUUUAUUUAUCCCUAACGUGGUUUACGUUUGCGUUGGCCUUGUCACCUUAUUCCAACGUGUAUUUCACGACGUUGACGUUUCCUCUCAUUGUCGGCAUUGUUUACGACAUCAAAAUAAUCCAUUUUAUUGUAGUGAUUUCUUAGUUUUCUAUGGAUCAAUUAUUUUUUCAUAAAUAAUCUUUUUUUUGGUUUCUAUGGUAAAAAUGAUGGGUUGGAAGGCAUGAAUUGUCACAUUUAUAUUUAUUUUAUCAUUAACAUUUAAGUUUAAUCACUAACCACAUCACAACAUAAAAAUAAAUAUAAAUGUGAUAAAUUCAUAAUUCUUCCUAAACAAGAUUAAAAAACAAUUUAGUUACGACUUAUAUUUAUUACUAUUAAUCUAUCCAUGAAAUUGGAUUACCAUGACACCAAUUUUGCUAAUUUCAAUGCUUUAGGAUUUAAUGAUGGUGCAAGUUGGGCAUUUGACUCAUUAUUUGUCCCAAAAGUUUCUUGCAAGGCUUUAACCCUUAAACCCACAAUUUCUCCCUCGCGACACCUACUCCACGCUGCGACCUCUUGAACGCGACUCCUUCUGCACGCCAGUGACCAGCUCGCAACAAACAGACAGCGGCGCACCAUCGGAGCGGGUUCUGUUCUGUAAAAAGUCCUCUUCUCUCCCGUUACCAGCUACUGCAGACCUCCCCGCCGCACGCUUCCCUCUCAGCUGCCACAGUCUCUGCCACCCACGAACUCACCGCCGCUCCCUCCAUCAGGCACUUAUUUCGGUCGUGUUGUUAGCUUACUCCGAAACAGAAACUGUGGUUCAGCUCCUAACGCCCGGCGUUCGUGGUCGCGCCGCUGCUCAUUCUUAGAAGAAAAUCACAUAACCAAUUCGUUUGAACUGAUUUUAUAUCCUCCCAAAUUUAAGGGUUCGAAACAGGGGAUAGUCUGUCCAUGGCCGCAGAAUCAACGCAGUCUACGUCUUCUCAAAAGAGAAGGCUAAAGAGGAAGAAAACCCAGAAAGACCCAGAAUUCGAACGUCUCGAUUCACUCCCGUGGAACUCAUCAAUCCCUAUCGACGACACUUUAUCUGCAUUUAUUGGUUCCAAUGAUCUCGAAGGAGGUUUGUACUUGUUUGUUCGUUCUUCUGUAUGCUUUGCUUUAGAGGUUUUCGUUAUAUUUGUGUGCAUUCUAAACCAAUACUGUUGUGUCUGUGACCAUUACUUUCUGCAGUCUUCAAAUGUAUGUAUCUACAUCGUUUGUUUAUUGUUACAUGACCUGAACAGGUUUCUUCAUCUUGUCAAGUUAUUAUUCAGUUUAUAGUUUUAUGCAUUUUUUUUUAUCGGCAGUGCUGAAAAAUAAUUGGGAUGGGCAUUGAAUAUAUAUAUAUUUUUAUUGGCUUGACACAUAUUAUUGAUGCUGAACGAGAAUUUAUGUUUGUGGGGUUUUGGGGUUUUACUGUUCAAUCAAAUCCUUUAGUAAUCAGUACAAAUAUUGCAAUAUACUAUAGGAUUUCUUUCCCUUGAGGAGAUUGACGAAGCUGAGUAUGGCAUGGUGAUUCCUGAACCUGACACAAGGAAACACAAAUUGAUACCAAAAGCCAGUGGAAAUACAAGGAAAGAGGAGCAAAACAAUGCUGAUUACUGUGAGGAUGCAUCAAGAGGUAGCAAUGAUAGUAUUGAUAAGGAAGCCGCGGGGCACAAUGUUAAUACGAAAACUAGCAAAAAAGGGAAAAAGGAGAAGAAGAAAAAGAAGAAAAAAAAGGUCAUUCAUGAAGUCCCAACGGCAGAGAAAGAUGUGGCUAUAGAUAUUGGUGGCAAUGAUAAUGAUGGGAUUGAGACAGAGAUUGGAGAUGAAAUGGACGAUGAUGAUCAUUUGGAGACGGAGAAGAAGCAACAAAAGAAAGAAAAAGAAACAAAGGACCAUGGAAUUGGUUGGUAUUAUUAUCAUAUAUAAUUUUGUGGAGCAUCAUAUUCUUUGUUUUUUGUACAGCAUUUGAUCAUUAAAUAUUGUUAUUAUUAUUUAUUCAUUGAAAUUUGUUAUGUAUUAUUCAGGGAGAAAAUAUAUUUAUUUGAUAUUUGUGAUUUUGAGGUUAUAAUUUGAUCAUUUGACCUCUUUUUGGAAGAGUGACUUCAAUGAGAACAUUUUUUCUUUUGGAGGUGGGAACUACUAAUGAGGUUUCAUUGUUGGAAGAAAUGUACAAAAACGAUAGUGAACUACCAAACUACCAUAGGUAGAUUACAAAAAGACCUAAACAAAAACCAAGUGACUAAGGUAGAAAGUCUCUAAAGGAGGGGUGUACUUACAUCAGUAGAUAGACAAAGCCCAAAUUCCACAACCUUUCAAGAAAAGGUAAGCUUAUCAAUGUUGAAAAUCCAGUUGUUCCUUUAUCCCCAAAGGUUCCAAAGAAAAAUUCUAUUCUUAUAAAGCCAUAUAGUAACUUUUGUUUAUUAGAAAGGAUGUGCCAUAGAAUUAGUGCUAGAAAGUUCAUGAUAUUGUUAGCCAAUGGUAUUUAGCAUUUCAUUCCAGUAUGCCACAAAUAGACAGUGAUAACAAAGGUGGCAUUGAGUUUCUGAAUUAUCCCUCGCAUUAUUCACGAGCUUGGAGAUUAGGCUGUGUACGACAUUCAUUUUUGCAUUUCAUCAAGAGUACUAACAUGGCUAAGUUCCCAAGUUAAUGCUUUGAUUUUUGGAGUAUAAUCCCUUCCAUAUUGCCGCACAUCCUUAGAAAAGAUGGGGAAUUUAAUAGGGUGGAUGAUUUGGAGGUAGACUUGUUUUCUCCCAAGUUUGGGGAAGUUAGCAAUGAGGUUAAGUUGGCAGUUUGCAAGUUUGUUGUCGACGUAGUCAAUAAAUUAAGGUUUAUAGGAGGUUCGUCAAGUAUGUUUAAGCCUCGUGACACUGGAGGGGGAGUGGGUUUGUCGGCUUGAAUAGGGUGUAAGAGAAUGGGUGUGGUAUGUCUAUGGACUAAAUACAUAAUUGUCUCUAUUAGAGCCUAGAUGAAGAUGGUGAUGAUUGGGUUGGUUAGAUGAGGAGCUAUUGAAGCCCAAGUUUAAGGAGAAUUGCCCCAAUGUUUCAUCGAUUUGGCAAGGAGUUUAAACUAGUGUUAGGGUUUUGAGGGAGCAGUUUUCUAAAAAGCCUAUGGAGCGUGUGCCUAGGCUCAAGGCCUAGGUUUGGCACCUAGCCUUUAACAAAAUAAGGCAUGCCUUUUGUGAAGCUCCUUGCACUUUGGGGAUUUUUCAUUUUUUUUUUAAAACAUAAUAUUUUGGAGGUUUAACUAAAAAAAUCAAAUUUACAAAGUCUUAAUGCAAAAUUACUAACCAUCAUGGAUUGGCCUAGUGGUAAAAAAUCUAUCCCUUGGUAAUCGUCAAUCCCUUAAAACCACCACAUAUAUUCCAUUCUUGGUUAAACCCCUGAACUCCCAUGGCUACAUCAUUUAGUUCCCUUCUAGCUUAUAACUAUGAGAUUCCAUGCAUCUUGCUAUUUGAUCCCACUUUUCACUUACCAACCCAUACUUUAACUUUGAAGAUGAAUGGGAUUCUUGUCAAUAUUGGUUCCUCUCUUAACAAUUCUAUUAGGAUUCUUUUCUUGAAAAUCAGUAAAUCCCUACAAUAAAUGGAGGAACGUGGACAAUACUCUGAGAUAAUAUAUUGAAUGUAAAUCAACAAGAAUUCACAAGGAAAUUAACAAUACAAGAUAUUGCAAGAUAAAACAGAAAAGGAAACAAUAACAAGCUAACAAAGGAAACACAUGUUACUCCAACUCCUUUGAGAAGGCUGGCCUUUUCUUCCAAAAGCUUUUAGCAGCUUUUCACGCAAUUAUGACCUUUUUCGGCAAUCCCCAAACCAUCCUCUUAUAUCCCCUCCCAGGUGGGUCCCUUAACUGGUUCUUACCUCUCCACUAACCGCCCCAAAAGUUGUCUUUUGUGUAAUACCCAUAUUACCUCUACCAACCUUGCUCUUACGCUUAUACGUGUGAAUGAUUGGAGGUCUAACAUUACCGCUCGACUCGAAAUGCACCUUGUCUCUUGUUGGAAUGUAGGAAACUGUUUAUUCAUCAGAUAAACUGAUUCCCUUGUAGCUUCACUGUUGGAUAGUCCCUUCCAAUUUACCAACCAUUCAUUUGCCUCUAAUUCACUAUUCCACCAUACCCGUAACAUAGUUUCAAGCAACAGUUGCAGUUUGAAUUCCUCCAUCAAUGCUAGUGGUAUGUGCUGCACUUGUUGAGUUUGUCCUAACUUAAGUUUUAUUUGAGAUAUAUGGAAAACAUUAUGAAUAACUACCUCAGGAGGUAAAUCCAACCGAUAAGCCACUUCCCCAAUGGUGUAGAUCACCUUGUAAGGUCCCUAAAAUUAAGGGGCCAACUUCUCACUUUGUUUCUGUGCUAAUGAUCUUUGGCAGUAGGGUUCUAGUUUGAAGUAGACUUCAUCCCCAACAUUAAAUUUCAACUCUCUUCGGUGUAAGUCAAUCUGCUUCUUCAUUCUAUCUUGUGCUAGCACCAAAUUUUCUUUCAAGGCAUUGAUAACCGAGUCUCUAUCUUCCAACAACUGUUUCACAUUGCUAUUCAUAGGUUCCCUAUCUCCAUAUGAAAUCAAUGGAGGCGACAAUCUACUAAACACAAUCUGCAAUGGGGUAGUCUUUGAAGAUGGAUGAAAUGUUGUGUUGUACUGGAGUUUCGCCCAAGGUAUACAUUUAUUCCAUUUGGUUGGCUGUUCAUUGCAAACACAUCGGAGAUACGUUUCUAGACAUUGAUUGUCCCUCUCGGCUUGGCCAUCGCUGUGCGGAUGGAAGGCAAUGCUCUUUUUGAGGAUUGUUCCCAUGGUCGAAAACAAUUCCUUCCAAAAAUUACUCAGGAAUAUCUUGUCAUGAUCUGCUAUUGGUAAUUUUGGAAUUCCAUGUUUGCUCACUACUCUCUCAAUAAAGAUCUUUGCUACUUGCUUGGCUGUGAAUGGAUGUCUGAGAGUGAUGAAAUGCGCAAACUUGCGAAGUUUUUCCACAAUAGCAAUGAUAGAAUUAAACACACCCGCUUUUGGCAAACCUUUUAUAAAAUCCAUUGUCCAAUCUUCAAGGAUUAAGUUUAGAAGUGGCAGCGGCUAUAAGAGGUCGAUUGGUGACAGUGAGUUUGUUUUAUUCCUCUGACAAAUCUCACAUUGCUCCACAUACUUCUUUACGCCAUUUUUCAUACCUAUCAAAUGCAAUUCCCUAUUCAUUCUUUUGUAUGUUCGAAGAAAGCUGGAAUGACCUCCCAAUGUGAAACCAUGAAACAUGUGCAACAGGGAUGGUGUUAAAGAUGACGACUUUGAUAAAACUAACCUCCCUUUGUAUAAUAACCGAUUAUUGACCCAUUGAUUGAUUAAGUUUCCCCUUCGGAUUUUCCUUUAAUAUGUUGACUAUUCGUUGCAAUUCCUUUUCCUUCUUGACUUUGUUUAAGACUACCACCAUAUCCACUAUUCAUGGUCGACAAUAUUGAUAUUUCCACCGGAUGAUUCACCCUUGACAGGGCAUCUACGACUUUGUUUUGAAGCCUGAGCUGGUAUAGGAUUUCAAGAUCAUAACCCAACAACUUUGUCAACCAUCUUUGGAAUUGAGGUUGUACUUCCCUUUGCUCAAUGAGGAACUUCAAUGGAUCACUGUAAACUUCCUUCCUAAUAAGUAAUAGCACCAUUUUGGCACUAGUCGUUACCAUGACCAUUAACUCUCUCACAUAUAUUGAUCUUACUUGCACUUGUGGGGAUAAUUUUUUACUAUAUUACGCAAUAGGCUUAGCACUUGCUCUAAUCCAACUCUUGAAGUAUCGAUCUCUAUUAUGGAAGGCAAUGAAAAAUUCAGAAGAGCUAAGACAUGAACAAACAUCAUGACUUGUUUCAGUUGUUUGAAUGCCCUUGGUCGCUUCCUCAUUCCACUUGAACGCAUUUUUCUAUAAGAGUUUGGUAAGUGGUGCUGCAAUAUCCCCAUAUCUCUUUACAAAAUGCGUUUAGUAUCAGUUAAACCCAAACAUCCACGAACUUUGUAACAUCUUUUGGUUGGGGCCAGUUCACCAUUGCUUUAACCUUUUUCCCCUUUGCUUCCACGCCUUUGCUCGAAAUCCAAUGGCCCAAGUAUUGAAUCCUCGAGUGCCCAAUUACACACUUCUUUCUAUUAGUGAACAAUUGGUUGUCCUUAAGAAUGCUGAAAACAACCACACAAUGCUUUUCAUGCUUUGUGAUGUAUGUGUUGUACACCAUGAUUUCAUAAAAAGACAACAAUACAAAGCGUCUCAAGAAUGGUCGAAAAACCUGGUUCAUUAAAGAUCGGAAGGUGGCAUGAGCGUUUGUCAACCAAAUGGCAUAACUAGGAACUUGUAAUGUCCCUCAUGUGUGGGGAAAGCAGUCUUCUCAAUGUCGCCCUUUUCAUUCUGAUGUGAUGAUAACCAGAAUGUAGGUCUAAGUCUAAUUUUGAAACCACAACCACCCCAUGUGUAAUUCAUCAAGUAGUUCUUCGAUCACAUGUAUCAGAAAUUACUGUCACUUGAUUCAAUUUACGGUAAUCAACACAAAACCUCAUACAAUCAACUUCGGGAAGGACUGUUUAGCCGAUUGUUUACUAAUUAGGCUUCCUUCAUACAUUCUUCUGACGUCUUCGGAUGACGGCUCACCAUGUUGAUAGACCACCAAUUAUACACCAGUACAGUUGAAAGAAGAAGAAGCAAGGAAUAACCGCACGUGCCCAAGGAAAAUAGUUUUUAAUAUUGUUAGUAGAUAUUUUCAUAAUAGGGGGAGUAUAAAUAGGAGGUUGUUAAGGAGAGAGAGAGUUAGUUAGAAAGUAUCAUUUGGCUUCAGGCUAUUCCUUGAAAGAUAGGAAAGCAGAAGAGAGUUUUAUAUUUCCGAAUUAAGGAGCUCUCAAUUCGUUUCCCUUGUAUUUUCCUUAUUAUUUCUGCAAUAUUACUAAAGUACUAAAAUAAAUCUUACUUGAUCGAAGAGGAGUUUCAUCAUUUGGUAUCAAAGCACGUCGGUUCUGGGCAGGGGAAGAACAAUGGUUCACACGUGAUCGGAAGAGAGAAUGGAAGCUCACAAUCAGGAAAUGCUGUUGAUAAAAAAAAAAAGUAAAAUUCCGGUGAUCGAAGAAAGUUUAACGACGAUUAGUAUACAAAUGGAAAAGACGCAUCAAAUGUUGAUGAUGCUCAUGGACUAGAUUGCGAAGGAACGAACUACAACCAGUGAGAAAAUGGCCGAAUACAGUGCACAAGAAAUCGGAUUCAAAAAAAAUAAUGAAGGAGAGAGUUCGACAAACAGAAGAGGCGAGAACGAAGUUAAGGAAAAGAAGAAUGAGGAAGGAGCGAAUGAAAGAAACAAAUUCUUGGCUCUUCCGUGCCGAUCGGUAUUUCCAAAUUCACAAACUGAACGAUGCUGAUAAAGUGUUGGUUGCGACCAUCAGUUUUGAAGGCCCAACGCUAAACUGGUACAGGGCACAGGGCACAGGAGGAACGUGAUAAGUUUACGGGAUGGAAAAAUCUAAAAGAGAGAUUGCUUGUGCGAUUUCGAUCGUCAAGAGAAGGAUCCAUCUGCGGGCAAUUUCAAAGAAUUAAGCAACAAACCACGGUGGAGGAAUAUCGUAAUGAGUUCGAUAGAUUAAUGGUACCACUUGCUGAUUUGCAAGAUCGAGUGGUAGAGGAGACAUUUAUGAACGGUUUGUUUCCGUGGAUCAAAGCGGAGGUGGUUUUUUGUAAACCGGUCGGUUUAGCCAAGAUGAUGCACGCGGCUCAACUCGUGGAAAACUGGGAGAUUAUUCGUAGUGAGGUAAAUCUAAAUGGUUAUGCCAAAGGUAAAUAUCCUCCUUCAAACUCUUUAAAUACUAAGAGUAGUGCAGUGGUGAACAACAGUGAUAACAAAGGAAAUACCAUAUUUUCGAUGAGGGCAGUCACCUUAAGAACUACGACUGGAGAAGUUAAGAAAGAAGGACCGAAGAAGAGACUAUCUAAUGUAGAAUUUCAGGCCCGAAAAGAGAAGGGGCUCUGUUUUCGCUGUAAUGAGAAGUAUCAUGAUCAUAGAUGUAAAGGAAGGGAGCAAAGGGAAUUGAGAAUGUAUGUUGUGAAAGAAGACGAAGAAUAUGAAACCGUGGAGGAAGUUGAGGACGAGGAUAAAGAGUUGAACUGCGUUGAGAUAGACCAAGAAGAUCAGGCCAUCGUUGAACUUUCAAUAAACUCAGUGGUGGGAUUGACGAAUCUGGUAACAAUGAAGGUGAGGGGAAGGAUUAAGGAUAGAGAGGUGAUUAUUUUAAUCGACUGUGGAGCGACUCAUAAUUUCAUCUCAGACAAGGUGGUGUAGGAAUUGAGAUUACCCACGAAAGCCACUUCCCAUUAUGGGAUCAUUUUGGGCUCAGGUGCUGCUGUGAAGGGUAAAGGAGUGUGAAGAUAUAGAACUUGAACUGGAGGGAUGGAAGGUGAUAGCGAAAUUCUUACCACUUGAGUUGGGAGGAGUAGAUGGGGUGUUAGGAAUGCAAUGGUUGUAUUCACUGGGAAUGACAGAAGUGGACUGGAAAAUCUUAUCUAUGACGUUUUUUUGUCAGACUAUUGAUUUAGUGGCCUCUCCUAUUUUGUGUUGCCUUAGUUCGAGUUCAUCCACCUCUUUUUGGAAGUAUCCUUUGCUUAAUUGUGGUGUCCUCGUGAUGGUGUUCCCUAGGUUGUUUCAUACGGCUCAUUAUCCUUAUAUUAAGGUGGCUGAUGUAUGGAAUGGUGAUGCAGAAGCUGGGAUUUAUGUCUUCGUCCAAAUCGUAAUGAGCUUGAAAUUUUAGCGUGGGUUCCUCUGUCUCACCUGUUGUUCUCUGUCAGACUUCGUGCUUCUCUUGGUUCAUGGAGGUGGUCUAUCGAUCCAUCCUCAUAUUUUUCUGUGAAAUCUUUUGGAUGACUUGAUGGCCACUGUGGAUCCUCUUGCAAAGGAUCUUUAUUCUGUUAUUUGGACGGAAUUGGGAUCAUUAUCCUAUGAAAAUAAAAAAUUUCUUAUGGGAGUUUAGCUCGAGUGCUAUCAAUACUACUGAUCGUCUAUGUUGCAUACCUUAUCUCUCUCCAUCCUGGUGUGUUAUGGGUUGGAGUCAUUUCGAGUCCUUUGCUUUUUUGUUUAUGCAUUUUUUUGCCUCUUGCUUCUAGCAUAUUAGUUUGGUUGCUUUUGAUUGGUCACUAGCCAACUCUCCAACUCUAAUAGUACUGUUGACAUCUUUGCGUUUCUUUUGGUGGGUCAUUUGUUUAGUACAAAGAAGACUGUUUUCAUAAAAAAAAAGGUACUAAGAAUACUGUUUUGUUGGCCAUAUUACGUGCUUUUUUCUAGACAUUUUAGGGCAAGCCUAAUAAGCAUCUCUUUAGAGAUUUCGCUACUUGUUUAAUAGUUUCAUGGAUUUUGUUCUAUCUACAGAGUUGUAUUGGUGCAAAAUGAAGCCCCUUCGAAUUUUUAUCUUUUUUUUUUAGUUUCCAAUGGGAAAUCCUUUUUGUAAUCACCUAUUGGUGCUUGUGAUCUUCUGUUGUAUCAUUUUUUCAACAAAAUGUUUCUUCUCUUAAAAAAAUCUCCUUCAUUUAGGAUUAAUCCAUACCUGUCUGAGUUGCCUCAAAACUAUGGACAAGCUUCAAAAAAGAUGUCUAUGGAUCAAUCUCCCAAACGUUUCUUGGACGAAUGAGAGAUCUGGGAUGAAAUUUUGGUAUUUGGGGUUUCCUUAAAUGUUUAUUGAUUAAAGAAGUGUUUGAUUUACAACCUUACUUGGAUCUGUCCUUUGAGUUGUACAAUUGUGUCCUUGAGUUCUAAAACAAUAUAGUUUGAUUUGCAUAUAUUGAUAUAUUUAAUAUGAUAUUAUUUGACGAAUUGCACAUGACAUAAUUUUGAUUUGCAUUUAGAUAAAGAAAUCAGGGAUGAAGUUGAAAAGGAUGCAGUUGAUGAAACGGAAUAUUAUGCAUGGAAUGAGUUGAGACUGCAUCCUUUGCUUAUGAAAUCGAUCUACAAACUUGGGUUUAAGGAACCUACAGCAAUCCAGAAAGCGUGUAUUCCAGCUGCUGCUUACCAGGGGAAGGUUGGUUUGUCUGUUUUCUUUGUUACCCUUACGACUUGCUUGACCCUACAACAUUUAGGUGUCAAGGAAACUAGUAAAAAAUUAAUUACUAGAUCUUUGGCCAUCAUGGAUUGAACCUGUGACCUUUUAGUUAGUUAUUGAGACGAUGUCUCUUUUUUUACCAUGCCAACCCAUGAUGGUUGUUAGUUUGUCUUUCUUUUGUUGCAAGGGUGGAAAAAGGAUCAUAUUUUGCCUGCCAUUGAGUUUUGCUUAUGUGACAGGAUGUUGUGGGUGCUGCUGAGACAGGAUCUGGAAAAACACUAGCUUUUGGAUUGCCAAUUCUACAACGAUUCUUGGAUGAACGAGAGAAAUCUGGAAAGAUGUCUGAAGAAAAAGGAGUAGAUGCAAAAAAAUAUGCUCCCAAAAGUCUUCUACGGGCUUUAAUUAUUACUCCUACUAGAGAACUUGCUCUUCAGGUGAUUUCUUUAUGCCCACUCAUGGCUAGAGGCCUAAACAAGUAUGUUUGCAGUGGCUACAGGAGAUAAAACGUGCCAGGAUCAACGAUCUUAGGAUAAGAAAUAUUAGCGUUGGUAGUUAGAUUUUAAGAAAACUUCCUACCUUAAAAUAAUAUUCAAGGUCUCAAAAUGACAUUCUCAUUUCUUGUUUGUUUCUUAUUAAUACUUGCAAUGAUAUUUGGAUUAAUUGGGAUGGGUUCAUAUCCCUUCCUUGGCCUGUUUCGUAUUUGUAUUCUCCUUUCACUUAUGUUUCAUUCCAUUUAUUCAUCACUAAUAACUGAUAAGUUUGUUUCUUAUUAGAAAGAAAAAAACGACCUACUUAAGUUCCUUUUAUGUCAAGAUGUAAUUCUAUUUUAUUCUUGUUUUUUAAGCAUAAAUUUUAAGUCCACAGAUCCAUAAUGACAAAACACAAGCAAAUUAUUAACUGAACUUAUUUUAUUUGGAUUUUUGUAUGUGUUGAAUUUGGGGUUUAACUUCCUCUCCUUGAUCUUUUACUAUCAGGUUACUGAUCAUCUCAAGGCAGUCGCAGUAGGUAUAGAUAUCAGGGUGGUUCCAAUUGUUGGUGGAAUGUCCACUGAAAAGCAGGAAAGGCUUUUAAGGACGAGGCCCGAGGUUGUAGUUGGAACACCAGGACGGUUGUGGGAACUUAUGUCAGGAGGAGAAAAACAUCUUGUAGAGGUGAGCACUUCAUGUAUUGAUUAAACUUGUCCAUGUCUUCAUCCUCCAGUCAUAAAAAUUAAAAAGUCCGAUUUUCGAUUCCUCCUAACCUUUUUUGACUCCAGUCUCCACCAUGUAUUAUCUAAGCUCAUCGAUCAGGAUACUUAUUUUGCAAACACCCUUCAUCAAUACGUGCCUUUACCUCCAUAAUGUUGUGGUUUAUGUUUUCCGUAUUUUGUUUUCCUGUGAAAUUAUCUCAUUUAUUCCCUCUUCUAAUUAGCCUUUAAUAUGAUCAGCAUGGAACUUUUCUUAAGCACUUCUGAGAUGUACCUUGUAAAGUAGGGAGUAGUAGUUGUAAAAGUGCUAAGUUGCCAGAUUUUAUUCUUGGUGAUAUUUAAAUAUCAACUUCAUUCUUUUCCUGUAAUAAAUAGGAUGGUAAUGUUGACGCUCUUCAACUUUUCUGUUUCAGUUGGAGGCAUUGUCUUUCUUUGUGUUGGAUGAGGCUGAUAGGAUGAUAGAAAAUGGACACUUUCGUGAGUUGCAGUCCAUUAUAGAUAUGCUUCCUGUGACCAAUGGUUCUGCAGAAAAUUUACAAAAUGCAGAGAACUCUUUGACCACUCCAAUUUCUCAAAGAAAGAAAAGGCAAACACUUGUGUUUUCUGCUACAUUGUCACUAUCUUCUGAUUUCCGUAAGAAACUAAAGCGUGUAUCAUCCAAACCUAACCAAUCGGGAAUGGAUGGUUUGAAUUCUAUAGAAGCUCUAUCUGAGAGAGCUGGAAUAAGACCUAAUGUUGCUGUUAUAAAUCUGACAAACACAUCAGUUUUGGCAAAUAAUCUUGAAGAAUCAUUUAUAGAGUAUGCACCUUUUCAUCUUAUAUCUAACAUUUUGUAUUUCUUUUGUUUAUUAUUGUUGUUGUUAUUGUUAUUAAACAAUGGGGAGAGAGAAAAAAAAAUUCAAAACAGCAAAUACAUCGAAAAUGUAACUCUUUUGUUAUUUCUAUUGGAUGUUUAAUUUAUAUCAUAUAAUUGCACAAGGAAUAUUCAAUAUGUUUGCCAACUGAGUAUAUGUUUUUGUAUGGACUCUGUAAAUGAUGUAUUGUGAUUGAGGAAGGCCAAUCCCAUUUACAUCUUUUUGUAGUAGGGCAGCUCAAAAUUUUACAUCAUUUCUAAGCUUUUUAACAACAUUGAUUUCCAGUCGAAGUACCUGUACAUGUCCGUACACCUUAUUAGAUUAUGGUCUACAUGACUUGGUUUUUUAUCUUUUAGCUAGUAUUGCAUAAUGUAUGGUACAGCUUUCCUAGUAAUCGACAUCCAUCUCUUAUCUCCUUUUUGUCCACAAGCUACAAUCAGCUGCAUGGGUAGUUGGCGUCCAUGCUUCCUAAUUUUGUUAACAGAUUAUAAUAUGAUUAAUUGGACCUUUUUUGUGCUAACAGAUAUUAUGCGUUUGGUAUGACAUACCAUCAACUAUGCUUGUGCCUGUCUUUUUGUGUUUUCUUUGCAUGAGUAAUCUUUCUCCAGUGUGUUCGAAUCAUUACUAAAUCAUGACCUACUUGCAGAUGCAGGGAAGAAGACAAAGAUGCUUAUUUGUAUUACAUUCUGUCUGUUUAUGGACAAGGCCGCACUAUUGUGUUUUGUACAUCCAUAGCUGCAUUACGGCAUAUUGCUGCUUUAUUAUCCAUUGUUGGCGUUAACGUCUUGACUCUUCAUGCUCAAAGGCAGCAGCGAGCACGCUUGAAGGUUAGCUUACUAUUUAGACAGCUCGUAUCUGUCAUACAGUCCUUUCAUAUGUGGGGGUGCUGAGUUGGGCAAGAACUCAUGCUAUCUUUUCUUUGAAAAGGAUACGAGACUCAUUAUUAUUAAUAUUGAGAAAUAAAGAGAACCCUUAAUGUACAUGAGAGUUAUAUAAAGAGCAAUGGGGGAGGGAGGAUCAGCAGUCGCACUUGGACAUCUCAACUAGGUUGACACCCCCUUAGCGCCCUCAUCACAUCCAAAAAGUGACAAUACAAGAUCAAACAAAAAACCACAAAAACAAAGCCAAACAAAAUGGUAAAAUAAUCUGGCCAAAGCAAAAUCAUAAAUCAUAGGCAGCAAGCCUAGAACAAAGAAGAAUAAGCCUUGAUUGAUUGAUCAAAAAACUGUUUGAAGCAGAGGGCUGAUCCGGAAGUCCUGAUGAUCAAGGACUUAAGGUGGGGAGAUUAUAAAAGCUGGCCAAUUUAACGCAGCAUCCUGCAAAGAGUAAUCCUGAAAAUCUUUGGAUAGAGAACACCAUGAAGAUGCAUUCAAGAGACUAAAAUGAGUUUGUAGCUCUGAUGAAGCACCAUGAAGAUGCUUUUGUUUAUUUCAACCAAUACAUUAUAGUGUGUAGCUCUAAUAGCAUUAGAUCAAAUUACCUUAGUUUUCCUAUUUAAGAAAAAUUGUACUUGUGCAAAAUAAAAGAAGAAAUUUGAUACAACACUGGUGCUUCAUUAGAACUACAAACUCAGAGACUUCCUAUUUUUUUUCACCCCAGGCAAUUGAUCGUUUCCGUGGAAGUCAAAAUGGGAUACUGAUUGCCACUGAUGUUGCGGCUAGAGGCCUCGAUAUUCCCGGUGUUCGAACUGUUGUCCACUAUCAACUACCACAUUCAGCUGAGGUUAGUAAGAUACAGUUUGCCUUGUUUGAACCUUUUCUGUGCAACUGUUACUAAAUGUCUAAUUUGAAAGUAGGUUUAUGUUCAUAGAAGUGGAAGAACAGCCAGAGCUUCUGCCGAUGGUUGCAGUAUCGCGUUGGUCUCAGCCAAUGAAACUUCCAAAUUUGCAUCUCUGUGCAAAUCAUUCUCUAAGGUAGCAAAUCUAUAAUCAUGUAAAAAGCGGUAGCAGAUCUAGAAAGAUUAUUUAUUGUUCCUACCAUGUGGAUUCGCCAUACUAUUGUUUUUGUUUUCUUUUCUCUAUCUGACUUGUGUUUUAAAGAAAUAGUAGCUGCCAAUAUGAGGCUCUUUAACUUGUAUAGUCUUUUUGGAUAUAUCAGCAAUAGCUGCGAUGUCUUUUGAGCAAUCUUCCUUAUACAUGCUUCAUUUGUUUCUGUUCCGAUAGGAAAGCUUCCAGCGAUUUCCUGUUGAUAAUUCAUACAUGCCAGAGGUUCUAAAACGUUUGUCUCUUGCACGCCAGAUUGACAAGAUUGUGCGGAAGGAGUCCCAGGUAAACAUAGGCAUAAUUCCAUGCCUAUAUAUUGCUUACACAUGGAAAUUUGUGUCCUGGAACGGCACUUCCUAGUUCCUUUUUGUGCUCCUGCUAAUUGGUGUAAUUGGCUGUGAUUUGUUUCUGCUUAUUACCAUAGUUCUAAUCCUAGAGUUACACAUGUUCAUUUGGUUUUUUGGUUGUUAUGAGUUUAAAGCUAUGUUGCUGAUUUCUAGGAGAAGGCAAGUAAAACUUGGUUUGAGCGGAAUGCAGAGUUAGUGGAAUUAGUUGUGGACAACGAUGACAGUGAAGAGGAGAGAGCAAACAAUUAUAAGCAGAAGAAAGUUGGCUGCAUCCAGUUAAAGAAACUGCAGCAGGUACUAGCCGCAAUGGCUAAUUUUUGAAAAAAAUUAGGUGAUAUGGUGGCUAUGUUAAAUUCCACUGGUAUUAUCUUCCUUCCUUUUAUAACUUAUUACUAAUUGCAGGAGCUCGACAAGCUGCUUUCCCACCCUCUGCAACCAAAAUCAUUUUCACACCGAUAUUUGGCUGGUGUAAGUACUACUAUUAAUUGUUAGAUGUUCCGUUCAUAAGUUUUCCCCAUUGCUUCUCAUAAAUUUUCUGGAUUAAGGAUUAUCUUUUUGUGAAAUGUUGUAAUAUGAUAAAAUAUUUUGCAUCAAGAGAAAAAGUUCCUCUAUGUAAAGAAAGGAAGUGGGAGAAAGAAAAUAACCGCUGUCUUUGCUAUUCAAACAACAGCUUAUCAUCAAAUAUUUUGAUCAUGAUUUACCCUGCUUUUGUUGGUUUUCUUGAAAUAUCCUUUUCUUUUUACCCGUGCUAAUGUACCUGUUUCCCCAGUCAAUGGGUGCAUGGGUUUGAAUAAUCUCUGGUUUUCAGCUAUUGGUUAUUCAUAGUAAAUUACUAAUUACACAAUGACUGUAUUCCCUCCUUGCUUGUCAGGCUGGGGUUUCACCUCUUCUGCAACAUCAAUUUGAAGAACUGGCCAAGCAGAACACUUCUGUUCAGACUAUGGGAGAUAACAAAAGGAGGAAGUUGGCUGCUUUUGGUCAAGAUCUUACAGAACCACUUCAAGCACUUCGAACUGGUGGUCAACAGGUAUCAAGCACUUUCUACUUUCAUUGAAAAUCAGUUUUCUUGUCUAAAUGGUUUGUAGGGUAAUUGAAUGAUGAAUCAUCCAUUUAGUCAAAAUUUCAACUAUUUAUCUGUAAGACCCCUAGUUAGGAAAGAAUAGGAUUAUUAGUAUGGUUACUAGAAUGGGCAUAUUAGUAGUUUGAUAGUACGUUGGUUAUAAAUAGUAGGAGGGGUGGUGGGGAAAAGUAUGAAGAAUUCUGUAGUGGAAUUUCCUUGAGUGGGAUUUUUUUUUUUUUUUUUUUGAUAAGAAACAAGUGUAUUCAUAUAACAAAAAAGAACAACCUAAGGGCAAGGGACAAGAGGGCCCUUCCCGGAAGAAACUAAGAAACUAAGAAAUGAUAGCCUUUCAAUUGUUGAAAAUCAUUGAAAGGCUAUAAUUACAAAAGUGUUUGGUGUAAUUCGUACUCCACCAAGAAGCUGUGUAUUGCAACACAGUCCAAAAAGAAUCAAAAGAAUUAUAGCUAUCUUCAAAGAUUCUACUAUUCCUUUCUUUUCAAAUACACCACAAAAGGGACCGAGUCGCACAUUUCCAUAAGAUGUUUCUUUUUGGGCUAUAACCUCUAAUGUUGAGUCCUUCAAUCAUUCAGCCAUCAAUCUUACUAGGGAGACAAAGCUCCAAUUCAAAAAUCCUAAACAAAGUGUUCCAAGCUUUUUUAGUAAAGAGACAAGUGUAGAAAUAGAUGGUCCAAAGUUUCCUCUUCUUUGAAGCAGAGACAACACAUCAAGGGACUAAGCAAGGUGUUCUGAACUUUUUUUUUUGUAGCUUCUCAUGAGUGUUAAGGCUUCUGUAAGCGAGCGACCAUAAGAAAAACUUCACCUUCUUUGGAAUUUUAUUCUUCCAAAUAUGACGAAUCAAAGGAACAACAAUGGAGGGGAUCUCUUGGUUAAGUUGAGAAAGGUGGACUUUGUAGUAAAGUUGCCAUUAACGUUAGGAGUUUAUUUAAGACUAUCAUUCCCUUCGGUGGGGGCCCAAGAAUGAAGAAUUUCUAAAACUGAGGCCACAUUGGUAAUCUCGUUAUCGAGCAUAUUUCUUCUAAGGCCCAAAUUCCACGAAUGAGUAGCAGUACACCAACAUUCAGCCGCGUAAAUAUCCUUAUUCAACGACACAGAGAAUAAGUUGGGAAUUUUUUUGCAAGUGGGUUCCGCCAGAGGACCAGCAAGCAAAAACCCAGCCAGACGACCAGCAGAAAACCAAAAACAAUAGUCCAACAGAGAGGAAACCCAACAAGCAAAAAAACAAUAUCUAGAAGAGACCAAUCCAGGAUCCAAUUCAGAACAGCCCAAACAAAACACAGGUGCAGAAGCAGAAAAAAUAUCCAUGCAGAACACAAGCUAGCAACCAACAACCAACCAAAAAUAUAAAGUUGAACAAAUCAAGAAAUCACUACACCCAACCAGCCAUUCUAAAACCAGCACCAACCAACAUUGAGGUGGAGACGGAAAGACGGCGAGACGGAUGAUAGACAUCCGGGAAAACAUCAAAGGUUAGAAAGAUAAGAAGAAUCAUUAUAGAGAGCAUCGUUUGAGGAAAGAAAAAGUGGAGACUCUGUUCAACAGUGGUGGAUGGCUAGAUUCACCAAUGGAAGUUGACAGAUGGGAUUGCCGAGGAAGGAUAAAAUGGAUGGCAAUGAGGAAAAUGGAACUGGAAAACGUAAAGGGCGGUGUACAGAUGGAGAUGGAGACGGUGCUGGCAGCUUAUGGCUCGGAAUGGCAAAGAGGUCAGCAGACGGAGAAAAGACGGUUGAGAUUUGCAAAGGGAGUUGGCAUACAGAGUACGGAGAAGAUGAUUUGCAAAAGAGAAAAAAUUGCGUGAGGAGGGAGAGAUAAGGGCUGCCCACGUGAAAUAGGGGGGUAUUAAUUCAAUUUGGGCUUCGGCCUGAAAUCACUAAAAAGGGUUGAAACCCAUUAUUUUGUGCAGAUGCAAACUGAAGGGGUGGGUUGCAACACGUGAAAAUGGGAAGGAUUGGAAGGAAGAAAAAGGAGGCUGGAGGUGGGAUUAUGGUAUGGAAAAUGUAGCAGCAUGAUUCUGGGCUUGAUUGUGGGCUGGAAUUGUUUAAAGCUCAUUGCUACUUUCAAAGAAGAUAAAGGAGUAUGGGCCCAAAAGAUUGACUUGAUUUUGGAGCAACCAAUGGAUUAUAGGCCUAGCCCAUUUGGGUAGAAUAGCCAAUUUGAAGAACACUUCCAGUGUGGUGGAGAUAGGCUCGUGGAAAUAUUGUGGAGUCCUUGGGUGCUUAUUGGGCUGAAUCCAAGUGAACUGAUUGAAGCUCAAGUGUUCCCAAAGCUGAAGAGGGUGACACUGUGUCAUUGUGUUUUGUAAUCAUACCUUGAGGACAAGGUGUCUUCACGGAGUAUCGUAAGGCCCCUAGUUAUGUUAGAAUAAGAUUAUUAGUAUGGUUAUUAGAAUGGGCAUAUUAGUAAUUUGAUAGUAAGUUGGUUAGGGCUUUUUAGUAAUAAAUAGUAGGAGCGGGGUUGGGGAAAGGUAUGAAGAAUUUUGUACCGGAAUUUUCUUGAGUGGGAAUUCAGGAGAGUCUGGCCAUCUUGAAAGGCUAGGGGUUACUCAUUCUUAUGAUAUUAUAGCUUAUAUUUCAAUAUAUUUUUCAUAUUUGAUUGUUCUUGAGUUGUGUGUUCUUGAGUAUCUCUUGUUAGGUUAGGAUCCUAACAGUAUCCUUCUUUGACAGGUACAUAUGAAUGCAAAAGAGAUGGCUGAAAAACGGAGGAAAAUGGAGAACGUCAAGAAAAAGAAAAAAGAGGAGAAAAAACGUAAGCUACUAAAAUCUUUAUUGAAUGGGACUCUUUUUUCAAAAUUCUUCCUCUCAACUAUCAUAAAAUAUUAAGUAAUGUCAAGAAAUGAGUGGUCAAUUAGAAACCAAAAAUACCAAAACAUUCUAGAUAUCAUAUGCAAGCAGCCUCGUCAAAAAGUACAUUCUUUUAAAAGCAAAACGAGAUGGAAAAUAUAAAGAUAACAGAAACGCUGAGACAUAAAUAAUGUGAUUAUCUUACUAAAACAUAAAAUAUAACCCAUAUUUAUAUUGAAUGGGACUCUUUGGUGGUUUUCGAAUUGUCAUCUUUAUAAUUUCCAGUUCUAAAGAACUGUAGAACGUUGGAAAUCUGCUCUCAGGUUCCUCAUUUCACAAUUAUUUUCUUGCAGGCUUGCGCGAUCAGCGGAGAAAUAAACGGAAACAAAUGAAAGGCAAGAUUUAGAAAAUUGAUCAUUCUGGUAAAUUGCAUUAAAGUUUGUAGAACAAAUGAAUAACCGAUACAGUGCUCUUGUGUUUAAUUUUAGUUUUUAGGUCUGAUUUUUUUUGGGUAAAUUAUGAACAGAAAAGAAUGCUGAUUUUGGUGAUGUAUGGGGGGACAUCAAAAUUUUGAGCAGAGGGUUAGAUUGGCUAUAAUUUUAUGGCAAUUUUGUGUAGAUGGAGAACUGUUGGAAUGUUAAAGGCAUAUUUUUUAGGUGACGUUUGAGGCACAGAUGAUCCUGCCUCAGAUGGGUUUGGUUAUUGCUUCCUUAACAAUUGUUUUCUUAGUAAAUAACACUUUCUCAAUACCAAUGCUAAUAUUGGCAAAUGAAGUCUUCUAAAGCAUCAUAAGGAUGGAGAAUGAAAGUUUUCCCGUGCAUCUGUUUAGGUCAAAUUUGCAUUGUCGGUAGAAAUUGAAAAGUUUGAUUGUGAGUACAUUUUUAGUCGAUAUCCUUUUGUUUUUAUUUUGGGAAAGAUGAUUUCUCCCAUACUUGAAUAAGAAUAUGAGAUUGAUACCCCUUUUAAAAUGGAGUUUUAGAAAAUGCAUGUUUGUCAGUGUCAAAUCUCCUAUAUUAUUUGAUGAAAAAGUGGAAGUUGGGAAUUUUACUCAUUUAUUUAUUUAUAUUUUAAAAUUAUAAUAAUUCUUAAUAAAUAAAUUUCAUUAUGGUAUGAAAUUCACAAAAGAAGGGCAAUAGCAUAAGUCAACAGAGUUACAAGAGACUUAUCGGUAUAAACAAAUUGGCCAAAUGUGGAAUAGAUAGAAAAAAGGAAAAGACAAUCAAUACAAAAAUGAAAUCACGAGACUAUGCAGAAUCUAUCACUUUCUUAUCUUAACCUAUGGUUAUCUUACUAAAAUAUAAAUAUAAAACAAGACACCAUUUGUUUGUGCUGAGGAUAAGGAAUAGAAUGACAAACGGCAAUAACAUAAACUAAUACUAAGUGGGUGUAAAAGUACCAUUAUAUCUGUUUCCAUUGAAGACAUGACUUUUAUGUAUCCUUGAGUUGCCAGACAAAUUGGGACUAGUUUUUAGAUUAGGCAUAUGAAAAGAAUAAAAUUGUUUCUUUGAGUCAAUCCUGAUCAAACUAGAGAUACUGUUAGGACCAAAUCGAGAUUUAGUUCUUUAGUUUUCUCUACUUUUUGUAUGUUCAGCUAAAUGCAUAUGGAUGGUGUCAUAGCUACAGUAAAUUGUAUUAUAUUCACCCUCUCCCAUUGAUCCUUCUUGAUUGGAAGGUUUUUUGUUAGUAGUUUCCUUGGGAGAGGGCUUGCUCUCCCCUGGCCUUUGGGUGGUUACUCGUAUACGCACACACACACAAGGUUUCUCAUUAAAAAAGAGAAAGAAAAAAAAUGGUCUCUCUACUCAUUACAUCGUUAAAAAAAUAAAAAGAAAGAACAUUUGAAAAAUAAUGUCUGAAAUGAACUUUUGGACGAUAAUAAAUCUUUCCCCCUAUUCAUUAGAUUAAAAAAAAUGCCCCCCUAUUUAUUACCCAAAAGCAUACAUCAUAACUAAGCUUAUCGUGUAUUUGCAUAUAAAAGUUCACAAAACAGAGUUUUAAGGUGAGAUCUGGACUACUUUCCAGGAUUUUUACAGUUAAGACUCCACGAAGUUAACAUAAUUAUCUUUUUAAAAAUAUUUAACAAAAGGGUGUGACUAGAUUGUGCACAUUAGCUUUGCCAAAUGCAGAAUUUGGUGUGAGAUUGGUGUGAAAAUCCUCAAAAUUCCACAGCAAUCCAUCCCAUAAUUGAUGGUCUUCCAUCGAAAUUGCCUCGGGCAGAGACAACAAGAGGCUUCCUGGCUGGUCAUGAUCUAUUUGGGGAUUGAAGUUACUGAUUAUGCCAGUACAAGAUUCUUGCCUUAUUUGAGGCUGAGAAUUGUUUAUAGGUUCAGCUUUCAUAGCAGGUUGUCGGUUCAGUUGCUGCUGCUGUCUUAGGAGUUCUCGAUGUUGUUGUUGUCGUAAGAGUUCCCAGUACUGUUGUUGUUGCUGCUGCUGCUGUUGAUGAUAUUGAUGCUUUCUUAGAAACCGAGCAUUAGGCUUUUCAUUGCGGCUGGAAGUUACUUUUGCUUUUUUCUUAAAAUGGGUUCUCCAAUAGUUCUUGAUUUCGUUAUCAGUUCUUCCUGGCAAACUUCUAGCAAUGGUAGACCACCUGUAGUAUUUACAAAUAACAUGUUUAGUUCUUUUUAGCUGUUUCAUAAUUUACAAAAUCUAUAGGUGAUAAAUGUUCAGUGAGGCCUCUUCAUAUCUUCAACAAUCGUACUGUACCCAGAUAUUAUUGUUUUAUUGUUUUUUGUUCUCAGGACCCACCAAAUUUUUGUUGUUAAACUUAGGAAAAAGAAGGGAGGAUUACCUGUUACCCCAUCUCGCAUGAAGCUCUAGAAUUAUGCUCUCUUCAUGUGGGGUUAUCUGCCCUCUCUUUAGGUCUGGCCUCAGGUAGUUUACCCAUCGCAGCCUACAACUCUUCCCAUUCCUUCUCAAUCCUGAAUGCACCAAAAGAACUUAUAAGAGAGGCAUUUUGGAUUACAAGCUUAAGACAAUGAAUGAAAAGAAGACUAAAAAUCAAGGAAAAUGCCAAAGGAAGACGUAGGAAGGGCAGGGGGGAAUGGAUACUCCAGAGUAGAAUGAAAUAAUGUUCCAAAUCAAGGAAAAUUUCCGAAGAAGAAAAUUGUAGUAAGAGAGGAGAACAGAUACUCAAUUUAAAGCGAGUAAACAAAAUUCCCAUACUCGAACAGAGCCAACUUUGGGAGGAAUGUAUGUUAAUGUAUUUGAUAUUUGAUAAGUCGGUCCAAUUUUCCGGUACUGAAAGUCUAAGACAAAGGGGUUGUUUUACCUGCAAGGUGAGCCACAGAAUUCCACCUUCCUUCACCAUGAACUCUCACAUAUUCCAUAAGCAGCCUAUCUUCUUCAGCAGUCCAAGGCCCUUUUCUCCAUCCUUCUGCUGCUACUUUGCCCCAACCAAAAUGCUCAUCCAUCAUCAUCAUCAUCAUCCAGCUCUGCCUUUCAAAUUUAUGCUUCUGAAUAUUAUGCAAAGAAUCUUUGAUGUUCUCUCUCUCUUACAGAUUUCUAUGGCAUAUUGGGUUAAUGUUUGUUCCAUAUUUAUAUAGUCACUCAUCAUUUGAGAGUUUUUCUGAUCCUUUUUACUGUUCAAGUUAUUGUGAUCAUCAUCAUCUUUGAAACAAGAUUAUAAAAUGGCAUGUAUGUCCUCACCAAUAUUUUAUUAUGUAUUGCUCUUUUCCCUUUUUUUGGAACUCCUUUUUGGGACUGUCUAAUCUUAUUCUUCAUAUUAAAAAAAUGACCCAUUUGAUUAUUUUAACUAGUUUUCCAUCUUGCUUUUAGAAAAAUAUUAUAAAGUGAUGAGCUUGUAGUUGUCUAGAUUAUAUGUAGAUUCUCUCCAAAUUUUAAACUAGAAAUGAGUUCUUUGGCCUUUUAAAUAGACUGAGAUUGCAUAUCUUUAUCAAAUCACAGUAUGAUUUUUCAAGAUGAGAAAAUGGUUCAGUGCAGGUUGUUGUUUCCAGAUCAACCUUUGGCUUGACAUGAUUCUAUAAGAGCGUUUUUCUUUUUAUCAUAUGCAAAUGGGAGAAUUUAACGUACACCAAUCGUAUAACUUAAUGUCAAUUAAAUUAAGAGUUGUUCGAGUGUUACAAAAUAUAAUGCUAUUACUAAUAUAUUUACACGGUGUUUAGCCCAACGACAUCAUAGUUGGUGAUAGAUAAUUUAGCUACUUCAAAUAAUGUUUAUUAUUGAAGUUUGCACGUUUAUCAGAGAAUUUUGUCUCCCUUUUUCUUAUUCUCCCUCAAAUAUUUUCUAAUACUUGAUUAAACAAUUCUACACGUGGAACGUAUACUUUUUACUUCCAAACUUUAGAAGGAACUCAAUUCAAUGUUUAAAACAACUAUAAAACAUUUUGCUACAAAAAUAAUUUUAUUUUAUGAUGCGUUGAAAGUAUUGUUCACAUAUUUACGAUGACAAAGAAAAAUAGUUUAAUUUGGUCAAGACUCAUCACAGCUUUCGUUAGCUUAGAUGCUAACUUAGGUUAUACCAACAUUAUAUGCUUCAAAUUCUAGACAUUUUUCUUUUUAUUAGUAUCUCGUUUUUGUAUUCUACUCUUGUAUUUACGUGACAUAAGCUAUUUCAUGUCAUUUCUCAUUCUUAAACAUCAAGAUAUUUAUUUGUUCCAAAAAAACCACAUCCAAAAUACCAUAUGAAGAAUUGAUGACAGUAAUACACAUGAAGGAGAUGACAAACCUUGGUGAUGCCAAAGUAUUAGGUGACAUGAAAACUCCAAUAAUAAUUCUUAUAGUAAUCAAAAUGAAAAGAAACUAUUUUUAAUAAAAAAGGGGAAAAACAUUCUUAGGGCCACGUAAACCCCUCUCCUUAAUAAAAAUAAAAUUUGAGUAACUAAAAAAGAAUUGUGGGAGUGGAUUAACUUUCUUAUAUGAAAAUUACUGGAUGUCCAAUGGGAUUUUGCCACCUGUUUGCUUAAGAAGAGAUGACAUGUACAAUGCCUAUUAUGUCUUCUUUUAAAUACAAUAUUUUUAUGCCAUUUUGAGACUUUAAAAUGAAGUCAUUUGGACACUUGCCUCUCUCUUAUUUCACUAUGUGACAGAAUGUCUUGCAUGCACUUUUCCCAUUAACAUUAUAUUUAUUUUUCAAAAUAGAAUUAUCACCACUAUUCUAUCAACCUCUAAUACUGUCUAUUAUUAUCUAUUUGUGAUGGUCACUUUAAACACUAAUGUUUUGUUAUAUUUAUAAAAGCAUAUAAACAACUUCGUUAUUCUUUUAUUUCAUAAAAUUAUAUCGACAAGGAUAAUCAAAAGUGAGAAUACUCGCAUUCACUCUACAUAACUCUACUUCAUUUGUUAAUUAUUAGACUAGGUUUCUAGAGAUUCUAGUGUACCAUACGUCUCAAAAUAUCUCACACCAAAAUCAAAAUCCUAAUCUUCAAGGGGUCUCUUAGCUUUGAAUAAAAAAAAAAAGGGUUAUUUCUUCACUAAAAAAAGUAAUGGAAAGAAAUAAAUAAAAUAGUAUUCCAAGUGAUUUCACCUUUGGAGUUUGCUUAAAAAUCGUCUUCUAGCAAACGUGUUAUGCACAAAAUCAUUACUAUAUGGAAUUUCACCAACCAUAUCUAUUUUAAUAUUUAUAUGCCCUAGAUUUCCUCCAUUAACAUAAAUGUUUGAUUAAUUAAAUUAGACACUAUAUUUAAGAAAACCUUGUUUGAUUAUGUUAUGAUCUGCAAACACUUUAUGAACACCAAUACUCAAAAAGGGUAUAUGGAGAAACUAAAAACAAAAAUAAUUACAUAUUUUGUUUUGGAUUUUAAAGGUUGCUAUACUAAGUCAACAAAAGAAAAUAUAAAUAUGAGAUCACGUGUGUUAAAUAAAAUUUUCUAAAGAUUAAAAUGAUGGUAGUCAAAUAAUCAUAACUCAAAUGGUAUUAAUUAAAGAUGGAAAUAUCACAAUAUAUCGGUCCUAUGUUGUAUUUAAUCUUCAUUUUGUAUGAUAUAAACUUUAUUUAUGAAAGAUUUAGUCCACAAUCAUUUUUAUUGUCUUCACGAGAUCAUAUUUGAAUUUUAAUUAUUAAUUUAUAUCUUCACUUUAUUAUUUAAACAAAUUUGUUCUAAAAUUUCACUAUAUUUUUAUAAAUUUCCAUGAUAUUCAUGAUUUUUCUUGAAAAAUCCAUCGAUGUAUUGAUAGCGUUGAGUUAUCAAUAUUUACACCAAUAACGAAAUUUCAACUCUUGGUAUUAAUAAAGCAUGUAUGGUCAAUUUAUCUACUAAGCUACCAUUGUUUUGAAAGAACUAGUAUUUACUAAGUUAGUUUUCAAAUAUUCUUUUGCAAAUUGCAAUAACUGACGAACAAAAAUUUAGAAAAAAAAGUAAUUCAUAGCAUUUUUUUUUUUUUUAUAUAUAUUGCAAACAUGAUAAAUAAUUAGAUAUAUCAAAUGGUUGUCUUAAGAGAACUAUCCACUUUUAAAUUUUAUACUUUUGCAAAUUAGAAAAUGUAGUGACAUGUACGUUAUUAUUAUAAAUUUUUUGCUACUUUUGCAAACACCGUUCUUUUUCGUUUCUAAAAUACAAUUGAGAUACGUAGUUUGAACCAUAAACAUUAUGAUUACUAGCACAUUCCAACUGUGUUAUGGUCGUUUUGGUAAGUUGUUCAAGUUUAGUUGUUAUAUGUUUUUUUAAAGCACAACUAGGACUUGGAGGAUUCAAACCACAUACUUUAUACCACAAAGACACUUGUAUGUCAACUGAGCUUUGUUUUGGAAAGUUAUUAUUUGUUAGAGAAAUUGAGAAUACCCUACUCAUUCCUUGUAGGGAGAACGACGUGAUAUAUGCUUUCAAUAUCAAAGUACCCGAUAAAUUAUGUUCAUAUGUGUGUGUAUAUAUAUAUAUAUGUUUGAGUAACUGAUUGUGAUUGUGAUUGUGAGGGUAGAGAUAAACCCUUUAACAUAGCAAUUAAUUGAAAAUUAAACUACAAAACAACUUUUGUGUUGACAGCUAUGUUCAUAUGUUUUUAAGUAUAUUUGUAAUUUAGCAAACUCAUCCAAAGAUAUGGAAUAUAAUAAACACAUAGUUGAACAAAUUGACCAUUUCAUCAUCUCUUUUUAGAAAAUUACAAAAUAUAAAUUUAUAAAUAUUAUAUUUGCAUAGAAGGAUUAUUAUGAUUGAUCAUACUUUUAGUACGGACAAGGGAAGAACAAAGGGAUCUGCUCUAAUAAAAGAAUAUAAAAGAACUUAGCAUAAAACUUGAAGUUGAUUAACAGCUAAGCAUUGGCUUUAUGCAUAAUUAAUUAAAAAGAAGAUGUCCUACAAUUCUUUUCACCAUAUUUUAUUAACAUAUAAUAAUUAACUUUUGUAUUAAUUAAAUUGUGUACUCCUUCUAGAUCAAUUCUGAUUAGGAUUGAAAUUAUGAGAUAUUGUGGGUUUAAAUCAACCUUAAAUUUUAGUAUAUAAAAUAACAAUCAUAAAAAGAUUCUCUUUUGAUUUUGUUGCUUUGAUCUCCUUCAAAUGGAUAUGGUGUUCAUUUGGAUUUAACUUAAUGAGUUUCUAUCAACAAUCAUAUACUACAAAGAUUUAAUUCUUCAAUUUUAAAGUAAUUUUAGUUUCAGUUUAGUUUAUUAUUAUUAGUUAGGUAGAAUCUGACUAAUCAUAUAUAUAUAUUUUGUUGUUUAUAUAUAUUCAUUAUGUGACCCUGAUGAGUUAGUGUAUUUUCUAUUUGAUUCUCUUUGUUAUAGUAUUUUCAGAAGAAGUAAAUUAAAAGAAAAAAUAAGAAAGUGGAGAAAAAUUUAAACCAAACUAAAAUUAAAUCCAAACGUGUAAAUACUUAUCAGACUAAAUUAAAGCUUUUAAAACUAUUAAAUUCAAAUUAAGACGAUGAAAGCUUUGUAAACACUCAUGACAAUCCAUUUAUGGAUAAGAAACAAUAACUUAUUCAUUACAAAGACAAAGAAAAAAUCAAUGUGAUAUGAAAUAACAUAUUUUUUAAAAAAAAAGAAUUGAACGUUUAAAAAUGUGCUCCAAAUACACAUAUAAUAUUUGCUAGGAUUUUUAGGAUGAAUUAAUUUUUAUUUUAUUCCAAAUUAAAUGAAAUGAAAAUAGCUAAAAAUCACUAAUUAGAAAUAUCCUACUUUAAUAUACUUAUACAAAUUUUGAUAUUUACAGUUUUAAAAUUUUAAUUGAUAUAACCCUACAAACUUCAAAGUGUAAAUUGAUUUCAUUUGAGCUUCAAUCCACAAGAAGAUUAAUACACACACUUGUUUGAUAUUGAAAUAAGGCAUAUAUAUAUAUAUAUGUUACAAUCAAAGCACUUUUGAUUAAUUAAGGACCAAAUAAUGUGUAUAAAUAUAAUUAAUAUUUAAAGUUAGGCUUAUAACAUAAAUCACAUGGGGUGGCCCAAUUGGAGAUUAUUGGAAGACUUUUCUAAUGGAGUUGACCAUUGCUUUCAAGGAGGGUUAAAAGUUAUGAAAAAUAUCAUCAUAAAACAUUGCAUCUAGUUAUCUUUCAUAUAUAUAUUAAACUAAGAUGAUUUGUUGUAAAAGAAAAAAAAAUACCCUAAAGAUGAUUUCUCUCUAUGUCCUUUUAGGGCAAGCACCCUUUUGUUUUAGUUAUAAUUAGUAUUUCAUAGGUUGAGCUUGUUUUGUGUCAUUUUUGCAAAAUAAAUUUGGACUCCGAGCCUAACCUUUUAAACUUAUUUUGUUAAAUGUACGAAUUUGAACAACGAAUUUGAACCUUCCACUUCAAAAAUAUUUAUACGUUUUAAUUAAUCACUUGAAUCAUAUACUUGGUUACGUCGGUGUAUAUGAUUAUUUGUCGAUCAUUGUUAAGCUAAAGUCACUUUGCUCACUUGAUUGAACAAUCUUAUAAACUUUUAGCAUUAUUAUAAUUUUGUGUUCGAUUAAAAAUUAAAUGCCUUUUAGGCAAAGGAAAAAGAAGGUUUAUAAACUUCUAGAUUUUUAGUCAAUUUUUAAUAAUCAUUUAGAUUAGGGUUUAUCCUAAUGCUGAAAAACACACGCUUUAGGGGUAGGCAGAGUACAUAUAUGAUAUCAUGAUAUUUCCUUCUCUAUCUAUACAUAAUCAAAUCAUCUUUUUUCCUUAUUAUUUAAUUUUAAUAUCAUGUCAUCACCCACUUGUUAUUCAAAACAUUUUACCCCUAAGUUUUUAUUUUUGGGUUAAAUAUCAUCAUUUUCUACAAUUUGUAGAUCAAUAUUUUCAAAGUUUUAAAUUUGUUUUUUUAAAGCAUUAAUAUAUUAUUAAAAGUGAUUUUUUUUAAUUUAGUAAAACAUUUGAGUUAUACUCACGUUGCAAAAUAAUUAACUUUUCUUUUUUUUUUUUAAUUUUUUUAUCUUGAGAAUAAAUAUUAAAGAAUUUUGCUAAAUUCGAGUAAUUGAAAGUUGUAAUUUUGCUAAAAGAAAGUGAUUUGAUGCAAUUUAAAAAUAAAUUAGCCAAACCACACUUAGGUUUACUCCUUUGACCUCUCCAAGGGACAUUCUUCUAUUUAUUCUUUUAUUUUCUCUUUUUCUCAAUUAACUUAUUCUAUUGAUUUGUACGGAUAAGAUUUUAAAUUAAUUUGGGCGGUUUCCUUUCAAUAUUAAUUUUGAAGAUGGGGUUUCUUAAAAUAUAUAUAUAUAAAAAAAAAAAUUGAGAAACUAUUAGUAUUUAUAUUUAACAAAAUUUGGGUAAAUAUUUUAUCAAACCUUUUAUUUUUGCCAAUUAUUAUAGAAAAAUUUCGUAAGACCUAAUUUAACAAAGAAUUGUUCUAAGUUAAGCAUGCUUAACUUUGUUGUUUCUAUGAUUAAGUUACCAAAAAAUCUACACUUUGUUGGUGUAUAGAUAGUAACUUUCAAUUUUUUAAAACAUUUUUUAACCUUACUUUCACAUCCUCACGUUCAUUUCAUUCAAAUAUGAUAUCAAUUUAUUCAUGUCCUACUUCUAAACUUGAACCAUUACAUAAAUCAUUCUCAAUUCUAUAUAUAAUGAAGUUUUAAAAUAAAAAGGUGUUAAAUAAGUGUUUGAAGCUUUAUUUUUGUCUCAAUUUGACAUUUUAUAAAAUUUAUAGGUGUAAUUGACACAAAAUUGAAAGAAUAUGUUCAAAAGAUUAAAAUAUAUGUGUGCAUUAUGGAAAAUUUUAUUUUUGUGUAGUUUACCCAACUAUAUGACAAAUUUUUAAUUCAUUUUUGGAAAGAUCUUUAUUCAUUUUCCUAUAUUUAAAAAUAAUUGUAUGUAUAAUUCUUUUUUGUGUAACGCAUUCACAUCUUGGGAUGCAUCAAAAGAUUACUUAAUAAAAAAAUUUAAAACUUCUUAGUUAUUUCUAAAUAUUAAUACCCAAUUUAAGUGAGUAUAAAACAUCAUCCUAAAAUACUCUUAGAAGUAAAGUUGAACUUUCAUUUCAAAUAUGAAAAUUGUGGUGUGACACUUACGUUACAACUUAGAUGACAUAAGUUAAAGAAUAUCAUAAGAUCAUGCAUAAUGUACUUUUAGUCCCUUAAGUUUUGGUUUGUAUUUGUGGUUUCAAAAAAAAUAUUUUAGUGCUCAAGUUUCUAAAAUGAUUCUUGAUGGUCUUUCAUUCAACUUGGAAUGAUGAGUAUAUAUAUCGUUAUAUUUUGACGGAGAUGGUUUAACAUAUUAUUUAUUUGAUGACGUGGAGAAUAAACUCAAAAUGUAAAGCUUUUGUGAGAUUUGAUAUAUUGAAAUCUUUUCUUCUUCUUCUCCCAUCAUUUCUUUCUGCUGCUCAUUAUUCGACCUGCAACUUUGAGUGUAGUUGCUUGGUUGUCGAAUUGCUACUAGUCAAAGUCACUCUCUCAUCUUCUUCUUAUCACUCUCAAUUUCCUUGACAGUCACUAAUCUUGACACCAAAUUCAAACUAAAUUGAGCAAUCUAACUUUAUUUGAUUAAUUUUCCAUCCAUCGGAGGCUUCUAUAACCUAAUCACCCUCUUUUCUUUCAAAAAUUAAAAUUUCAUACACCACAUAUCCCAAAACUUUCACAUUCCUCACAAAAUAAGAACUUCAAAACCAUUCAUCAAAAUAAAAUAUAUUUACACAUUGGUUAUCAUCAACCUCAAUCCAUAAAUUUUAUAUAGGGGACACCGAACACUAUAUAAUAAACAUACUAAAAAGUGUUUAAAAAAUAUUUCGACGUUUUGCCAAUACUUUAAUAACAUUAACUACAUUUGUUACAAUAAAGAAAAUACCAUCAAUUUUUACAUGAUUUUUUGUUAUGUAAAUGCAAAAUUUAAGAUUUAAACUCUUAACUCGAUGGUUAUGGUGUAGUUGCACUACACCUAAACUACACCUAAACCAAACUUUGUUUAAAAUAAAAUAUUAUUUAAUAAUAUUAUAAUCGGGCUCUUCAAAAUUAAUAUUAAAAUAAGAAAUAUGAUAGUGUGAGGGUACGUGUUCCGUUGACCUCUUAAUAAAUCCACUCCUUGCUGUCAUAUUAAAUAUUGGAUUAAUUGUACAAAAAACAAAUUUAGUCUAGCAUGGAUUGAUACAACCUACCAUUUUAAAAGUGAAAGUUCAAAUUGUCCGUAGUCCGAAAAAGAAUAUCGAGUUAAUUUUUGUAGAACAAUUUAAAAGUUGAGAAAGAGGAUGUAAGUUUCUUAAUUUAAGAAAUAGAAGUGAAAGAUCCAUGAAAGCUUUGUAAAGUCUAACAUUUGACUGUUUAGUCUAAUUAAUAAAAUAGAUAUUUGAAAAUAUAUAUAUAUAUAUAUAUAUAUAUAUAUAUAUAUAUAUAUAUAUAUAUAUAUAUAUAUAUAUAUAUAUAUAUAUAUGACUUUUAUGUGAUCGUCGAGAAAAGUGGACACGUGUUUUAGGUGAGUCAGCGGUCAACCAGUCUAGGUUGAUUAUCAACACGGAAUUUUAGUCCAAAGAUAGAGUAAUUUUAGAAUCUUAGGUUAAGAAAAUUCGUACGCACACAACUUAUUCACUUUAUUUUAUACACUUUAUUUAUUUAUUUAUUUAUAUAUUUUUUUUUUGUAACAUCAAAAAGUUAAAAUUUUAAUUAAUUUUCUUAGACGUAAAAAAUCCAAAACACUUUACCAUUUGUGUAACAAAACAAAAAAAGAAAAAGAAAAAACCCAUGAAAGUAUUCUUGUAAAUUUUGAUAUGUACCCUUCAAUAUUGGGACACGAUUCAACAUUUCUAUUUCUUUUUCUUCUUGUUGCGAUUUCUUCAUCAUCUCUUCAAAAUGUUCUUUCUUCUAUUUAAAUUUUAUAUUUCAACUUUAUCACUUUUCACAAGAUGCUUUGAAGCUAUUUCACGAUUAUUUCAAUACUCUUCUUCAUAUUCGAGAAUAUCAAGAUUAUUUAAACAUCAUUUUAAAUUAUCAAUACGAUUGUUUACCAUGGUCAGUACAAUCAUUAGAUUUGAAGAUUUUUACAAUCACUUACAUUGGAUUACGUGAUCUCUUACUAUAACUAACACGAUCGCUUACCACAAUCAACAUGAUCGUUCACUAUAAUCAAUACGAUCGUUUGCCAUGAUAAACAUGAUCGUUAACUAUGGUCAACACAGUCGUUUAAAAUAUCUUAUUUCAUUACACCAUCAUCUAUCCUUGUAAGGUAUCUUAAAUGAUCGUGUAGUUAUGGUAAACGAUCAUGUAUAUGGAUCUGACGAUCGUUUACCAAUAUCAAAACGAUCUUGGUACAAGAUCGUGUACCAAGAGAUCAUUAAGAUUUUGUAUAAGAUCGUGUACCAAGAUUGUUUAGAUUUAGUACAAGAUCAUAUACUAAGAUCGUUUACCAAGAUCUGGACGUGAAUCGUGUAUCAAUAUUUGAACAAUCAUAUACCAAGCUUUUUGCGCACGUGUGUGACCGAUUAAUUGUGAGGUAUUUUUGUUAUUUCACGUUGUGGGCUGAUUUUUUUCUAUUUUCAAAAUUGUUUUAUACGGUUUGAAUAUUUUGACAUUUUGUUCUAGUUUUUGCAAAACCCCAGUUAUUUAAGGUUUAAGAUUAAAUUAGGAUAAAAUAUUAAUUAAUUUGAAUUUGGAAGUUCAAGGGAGAAGUGAGAUUCGAUCGAAAUUGAGUUGUAUAUAUCUAAUGUAAAAAAAUGUGGAAAAUUGAUGGAAAAAGUAAUGAUAUAUAUACAAGUAAAAAAUUUAUAAUAAUAAGAUAUAUGUCACUACACUUUUUAAAUUGCAAAAGUAACAAAUUUAAAAGUUGAUAACCUGCUGAGAGCCCUCUCAUAACCAUUUGAUAGUUAUCUAAUAGUCGCCUGAUAUCACUAAUUAUCUGUCAUAUUUUUCAUAUUCGCAAUAUGCAAAAUAAAUAUGUCAUGGGUUAUUUUUUUCUAAAUGUUUUUGUCAUCGGUUGCAAUUUUUCUAUAAUUAAUAGUGAAAAAAAUUGUAUUUAAUGAGGAGAGAGAAAGUUAAAUAUAUAAUGUUUAUAUAUUUAUUUAUGUAGAAAAUAAGAACAUUUAACAAAAUAUUUACACUCCAUAAAAAAAUUAAUUAUAAUAGAUUUUAUCUUUUAGUAAUUUUGUUCUACAAAGUGUAAAUAGUUUGUCUUUUUUUUUUUUUGAAAAAUACUCCCUUUUAUUUUGGAAAAGAGAAAUUAUUAUUUGAAAGAUGAUUAUUAGGGUUUUGAGGUAUUAAAUAGCCCUCAUUUUAUGUCUAUGUUAGCUUAAAAAACAAAAAAAAAAAAUUAAUUGGCACUUGCAAAAAUAACAAAAAAAUAUUAUAUGAUAAAUAAGACUCAUGUCAUUACGUUUUCUAAAUUGCAAAACUAACAAAUUUAAAAGUCGAUAGCCCUCUAAUAGGUCUCUGAUAAUCAUUCGAUGGUCAUCUAAUAGUCGUCUGAUAUCACUAAUUACUUGUCAUAUUUUUCAUAUUCGCAAUAUGCAAAAAAGAUGUUUCAUAUGCUGUUUUUGUCUAAAUAUUUUUGUCAUCUAAUGCAAUUUUUCAAAUUAAUUUUGAAAUUUCAAUCUUCUUUUUCCUUCUUUCUUCUUCUCAAGUCUUGCCUCCCUUUGGUAAUUUUAUGUCGACUAAUGCUCCUCUUCACCGGUGUCAUCCGCCAACUUUGCCAUUGACCUGAGUAAGAAUGAAUAUGAAUUGAGAUAGUUUAAAAUGCAUUGACUCAAUGAUUGUUACAGAUUAUGUUUUAUUAUGGAAAAUUCAUGAAGCAUGAUGGUGUUGGGAUUUAUGUCAUAAAACUCGUAGAUUGUAAAUAUAAUAUAUCCGUUAUUAAUAAAAUGUUAUUAUUGUAAUAGUUGUUAUUGAUUAUAUUAUUAGUUUUGUCUUAAAAACUCAAAUACAAUAAACUAACAUUCUAAGCUGUUUAAUGAGUCUUGAAUAGUAUGUAGAGACAUACAUGAAUCAAUAUUCGAGAUCAACUUAAAGGGUCUAUAGUACAGGGAUAAGGUUGGGUACCUUAUCCUAGUAACAUUAUGGAUAGUAGAAUUGAUGAAACUUGCUAAAAUGCGUUGAAAUUACUUCACAUAGCUAUAAUUUGGCUCAAGAGUGUGGUAAAUGUUUGAGCUGAGGAAAAUGUACAAAUAUGUAAUUAAAUAAGUAGAAGGAUUGUGUGAGAUGAUCAUGUGUAUACGAGAUGCAUACAUGCAAUAUGAAUUGCACUAAAAGAAUUGAAAUGCAAUGUAUUCCAUGAGAGUUAUGAUAAAUGAUUUAGAAAGGAAAGCCUUCGUAUGAUUUAUGAUACUGAAUGAUGAAUUGAAAUAAUUUGGAUUUAAAAUCAAUCUCUUGAUGACAGUAAAUGCUAUUUACACUGCUUGAUUUGGGUAAUUUUGACGAGUAAAAGGUGACGGAAACACUAGACAUUUUCAUCUAACAUUUCAGUAUUUUGUUUUAUAAUAAUUUUAGUGUUAUGAUAGUAUGUGUUUGAAGGAAGAGUUAUUAUUGGUAUUGUUAUGAUAAUAUGUAUUUGGGGGAAAUGUUAUGAUUGUAGUAUUAUUAUAACAUGUGUUUGAGGGAAGAGUUGUGAGCGUAGUAUUAUGAUAAUAUAGGUUUGAGGAAAGGAUUAUCUUAAUGGAUUUGUGAUAUUUUUUUGCUAAAAUAAACAAUAUUAAUAUAUGUAUUUAUAGUAAAUCAUAUAAUUUUUUUAAAUAAACAAUAUUAAUAUAUGUAAUUAUAAUAAACCAUAUUAUGAAAUGAACUUGUGAUAUUUUUUUGCUAAAAUAAACAAUAUUAAUAUAUGUAUUUAUAGUAAAUCAUAUAAUUUUUUUAAAUAAACAAUAUUAAUAUAUGUAAUUAUAAUAAACCAUAUUAUGAAAUGAACGCAUAUUAGUGUCAUUAGUAGUAACUAAGUAGAGAUUCAAAUUCGUGUUCGUCCAUUAGAAAUUCUAGAUUGACACCUUGUUAGAAAGGAAAAUACUUAUGAAAGCGUUAAAAACGAAAUUGGUUAACCUAAUCACAUACUUUGAAUUUUGGUUUAUGGGUCUUGAAAAUUUAUUCAAAUCAUAAUUUUCCUAUGUAAAUUUUCCGAAGCCUUCUUGCAAAAAAGAUCGUAAUAAAAAUACAAUAUUGUUAGGUGGGUCAUUUAUGGUUCCCUAUAAUUCCUUAUGAUACGAGAAGUUUGUAAAACUAAUUGUCUAUGUGAGAACUUGUGAAAGUAUUUUCUUAUACGUCAUACUAUUGAACUUGUUACACAUUUCUAUAACCUAUAUCACACUAAUGUAUGUGUAAUAUAAUUUUUUUUCUUAUAAAGUUUUUGUAUUGCACCAACCUAUUGUAUGUUUAAGUCUCUUAAACCUAUAUUGACGUUUUAUAUUUUUAUUGAUUAAAAACCCUUACUUUUUUUUUUUAAAAAAUUAUGAUUGUACAUUAAAUUCGUGACGAAAUCGAAAAAUUGUUCGGAUUUUUCAAAUAUGACAUUUACAAAAAAUUGAAGAGUUGAGUUUAGAGACAAUAUAUGGUAUGAAAACAUUGCUAUUUUGUGAAAUACAUUUUUAGAAUUUUUCGCACAAGUAAAGUUGCUUAUGAAAUUGAAAUACGAAAAUAAUAAAAUUGGCAAUUUGUAUCUAGUAGUAAUUUACCUCAUACUUAUGCGAUGUAAAAAAAAAAACAUUCGACCAUAAAAAAUGAAAAAUAUUCAUUAUAGUACUAAACGAUAAUUAGAAAAACAAAAAAAAACCUUUAAAAUCGUGGCUGAAUUGUUAGGAACAUAUUACAACAAUGAAUAAAAAGAAAAAGUAUAUGUGCACAACUUUAUGAAAUUACACUUUUAAAACCGUAGUACCUUGUGAAUGGUUGUUUAACUGGUGCAACCUAAAAAUAUUAAUGACAUAAAUUAGAAAGGAUUCUAGGAACACGAUAUAUGCCCUUAAAAAUUCAUAAGAUUAAAUAUAAGCAUAGAAAAGUAAUGUAAGGGAAAAGAAGUAGUGUCAGAGUAAAGAAAUUCGUGCAAAAGCAUUUACAAAGAAUCAGUGUUGCACUCAAAUUUUGUAGUCGAACCAAUGUCAUCAAAAUUAAAGGCAGAACAAGCAAAUACACUAUCGUGUGCAUGGAAAAUUUCUUCAUCAUACACAUGAUUUAAAAGAAUAACAAAAUGUUGAAGCAUAAGCAUAUAAACUAAAUAGGGAUAGAAGUGUAUGGAAACAAUAUUCUACCAAUUCAUAAAACGGACAAUGAACAUGAAACUAUGGACCUAAGAUGAGGUGUGUGAAAAAAUAAGAAAUCAGAACAAAGAGAGGGAGUACGAGGAAAAAUAAUAAAUCAAAACAAAAAGAGGCUAUUUAAAAGAACAUGUCAUUUUUUUGUAUUUUUCAUUGUGGGCUUGUAAGCUUUUUUCUUUUUCAAAAUUGUUUUAUACCAUGUAAAUAUUUUGUCGCUUUGUAAUAUUCUUUUAAAAACCCCUAAAAAUAACCCAUAUUUAUUCAUAUGCUUUUUAAAAGAAAUUACAACUUAACAUUUAUAAUAUAUUAUUGAUGAUUUGAAUAGAAACUUCUCAACAGAUUUCAAAAAGAAAUAAAAUUUCUCUAGAAAGAAUUUUUAAUUAUUUGAUUUGUCUUAGCUUGCAAAUGAAACAUAAAGCAAAUAAAGUUGCAUCAAUUUAUAUAUAAAUGGACUAGUUAUAUCAUUCAACUUUUCUAGGGUGGUUCAUUUCACUUGGUCAUGUAAAAAAAAUUAUAUCAUCUGGUGUCAAAAGGAUAACGAAGAACUUAAGGUCUUAAAGAACCAUAAUUUUGAGAAAUAAGCAGUUGUAUCUUUGCUAGUUAAUAUAGAUUACCUCUUGCCGUAUCUUUAGUAAUUUUGUUACAUAAAAAUAAUAUUUCUCCAAAGAUAUUGAAUGAGAAUUAAACUCAAUUAUAUUUAAUUUGAGAAUUAGCUCACGAUAAUUUAUUUUAUUCUAAUAGAUCUAGUUAAUUAUGAAGAUGCAUGUUAUUUUAUCUAAACCAUAUGAGUUAUAUCUUACCCAAGCUACUUAGUACAUAUAGAAGAUUUUUUACAUGGUUGACAACUUAUGAAGUAGAUCAAAACGACUAUUUUAAAUCAUGCUAAAAUAUUGAUGAUGUACAAGACUAACCAUUAGUGUUCUUAUAUGAAGACAAGGCAAACAAAAUUGUUUAGAAGACAACUUUAUUUGCUAACUUCAAUUAUUUUCUUGUUUUUUCUUUAAAUUUUUGUUUCAUCAUUUUUAACAUUUAGGUGUGGAGAAUAAAUUAAUUAACUAUAACUACAAUUAAUUGGCUGAAUUUUGUUGUCUCUAACGUCUUAGCUUUCUUGCCAGCUUCCAUUACAGUAAUAAACUCUAUCUUCUUUUUUGUUAACUAAUGAUUAUUAACGAAUGAAUAGGAAAUGUUUAGUGUCAUUGGAAGUGAUGAAAAAAGUGAUUGUAACCCACCAAAAAUGGAGAAGGGUUACAACCAUGAAAACAAGUCUGAUUAUCCAUGUCAUGCUCUUGCCCUAACAAAGUGACUUGGCUCCAUUCAAACUAGCAGCAUAAGAAUGGAUAGUAACAUUGUAGUUUAGUUAAUUAAUUAGUUAUAGUUAGUUCAAUCAAUCAAUUAAUUAUAAUAGACUAAAACAAAUAUAAUUAUAAUUAGUUUUUGGUCAACUAAUUGUAGUCUAGUACUCGAUGAAUUAAAUUUUCUAUUUCAGUUAAUUCAAUAUAUUAUGGUAACCACAUCCCACUUUUAGUCUACAAUUAUAAAAGUUUCUACUUUAUAUUUGAAUUAGUCAUGGGUGAACAAUAAAUUUUGGUCAAUUAAAUUUUAUUGCGUCAUCACGACAAAAUUGCGACGAUUAUAAUUUGAUUGAAUUUGGGUACUCAAGUUUUCUCAUAUCUAAUUCAAUUCAAGCUCAGGAUGAAAAAUUGAGCCAAAACAAGGAUAAUGAGUCGAAAUCCAACCAUUAAAUGGACUCAAGCCCACAAGUAAAUGGAUCCAAGUCCAAGUUCAACAAUUAGAUAAGUCCAAACUCAACAAGAAAAUGGGUCCAAGUCCAAGCCCAUGAAAUUUCUCUAUAAAUAGAGACAUUUGUCAUUCAUUCGAGGGAUCUUUUAGUUGAAAGAAGAACUGAAGUUCUGAAGUACUGAAGCUUGGGAGUUUUUAUCAACCUCAAGAUCAACAGCUUCCAUCCUGAAGACCAAAGAUCGCUUCCAUCCUGAAGACCAAAGAUCAAAAAGUUCUAAGUUUACCUCAAGAUCAACAGCUUCCAGCUUCCAUCCUGAAGACCAAGGAUCAAAAAGUUCUAAGUUUUUUUUAACUUGUAUUCGAGAGAAAGCAUCAAAUAAAUAAAUACUAGAGAUUGUAUUUACAAUAUUCAUUAAUAUACAUAGUUUAAUUCUACGAAUUAUAUUUCUUUCGAAAUUUCGUGUGUAUAAUUAUCUCAUUAAUUAAUCAUUUUAACUCUUAUAUUAUUAAAAAUUAAGUAAUCAAACUAACGUAAGCAAAAUAAAUUCAAAACAAUAAUAUGAAACAUGCUACGAAAAAAAAUACAUAGAUAAUAUACAUUAUAUGUAGAAGGUAAAGUAUUACCCUGAUUCAAAAGUCAAGUUAAGAAAAGUAGUGAAAAAAGAGGUAAGAAUUACAUAAUAAAUGGUACAUGCAUGGAGAAUAUACAUUAUAUAUACAAUGUAUCCAUUGUACUUGUAACAAUCCAAAGGAGACCUAUACGUUCAAGUAUAAGAACUUGAGUUUGAUCAAGUUGAUCAUCAUGUGGAAGAAGUGUCUCUGUGACAGUCACAAAAUGAAGUUAGCUAUGUUUGUCCAAUGAUGGUGAUGUCAACCUUUGGUACGAGCUAUUACAGUUCAGGAGUUGAUCAAUCAUCACACUUCAAAUAAAAAUAUCACACUUUAGAGGCCGGUCUAUAAUUGCCAAACUUUGGAACAAAGUAUUAUGAUUUAGAGACCAAUCAUCUUCAUAUAUGAAUCGACAUAGGCGCAGUCUAGAGAGCAUAACGAGUAUCAAUACUAUGAUGCGCCUGUAGAAAUACUUGAACAACUCUGAUCACAACAACCAAAGAAUCAUGAGGGACUAGAGCAUCAUAAACUUUCGAGUUGGCAACAACAGCCAACUCAAAAUCGAUGACGUUUGGAUUGUGAGACACAUUAGUUUUUGAAUGAAUGAAAAUUAUUUACAUUAUCAUAAUGAUAUAAACAUUCUAAUUUACAUUUAAUUAUUUUUCUAAGUAUAAAUAACUACUAUAAAGUAAAAACGUAAAAUUGCAUAAGAAAUUAAUCAAAUAUAAACUAGAUAAAUUACCACGGUAAAUUUUCAUUUCAUAUUAAUAUAAAUGAAAUCAACUAUACAAUUAAAUUUUCACCUAAACGGAUAGUUAAUUGUAAAUUUAAAAACGGAUUACAAAAUUCCCAUAGUAAUUUAGAACUAAAUUGAAAAAGAAAAGAAAUUAAGAACUUCCAUAUUAAUAUGAAGAAAUUAUAAUAUUGAUUUUUUCAAAAAUCAAUAAAUUGAGUACUAAUUUUUUUUUUUAAAAAAAAAACUAAUAUGAAACGAUUUUAAAAAAAGAAAAAAUGGGACGAGUGUUCUUAAUAUAAAAAUUUAAAAAACAAUAUUUGAGUAAUUAGUUUAAUGAACAACAAUAUUUAACCAAAUUUUCGGGUUUGGGUUUUGGGUAACGAAAUAUUUCGUACUUUUAGCAAUUUACCCAUCCUCUUUUUAAUUUUCUGCCCUAAUUUUCGUGCUGUGGAGUUGGGUUGUUUCCAUCAAAGUCCAAAACGAGGUUGAAGAUGACUGCGCCGGAUACUGAACCGGUAGUCCCUUCUUCUUCCCAAGUGAAGGUAUAAUCUACUCUUCCUUUCUCUUUAAUGGCAUAAAGCCGCCUUCUCAACUCUUUCGGUCUUGUCGAAUUUAUUGGCGCCUUGUUAUAUUCCUACGAUACAAGUAGUUUAAUUCAGUAGUGUUAAGGCGUUUGAUUUAUUUGAAUUUUGGUAUCUCUCAGAUUGCAGUUCAUAAUCAUUGGAAAGACAUACAAUGCUCAAUUUCUUACUCAGUUUAAGAAAUGUUGUUGUUUGGUAUACGUCUUAAAUAGAUUGUGAUUCUUCUAUAAUUCAAUAAAUCUUGAUUUUUUUUCUUUUCACACGGCUGCGGGAGUAACUGGCAAUAGCCCGUUGAAGAUAUUAAUUUUGUGCGUAUUUCGGAUUCAUUCUUACUCUAGCUUGAAGUUGGGGUGCUCAUUUUAGUUUCUAGUGUUUCUAUGGUGAGGAAGUGGUAAAUUGCUUGCUCAAAUGAGACAUUGUUGCUCUCAUCUACUGAGACCUUUCCUCGAACUCGAUCUUAGUGAGUUACAUAAGCAACCCAAAGUAAGUUAGCAUCUUUUCUUCAAAAUGGCAAAGUGCCUGUGCUUUUCCAAUACAAGUUAGCAUCUUUUAUUCAAAAUGGCAAACUGCCUGUACUUUCCCCUUCCUCUCUCCCGUAGACCAACGAUCAGCUCUCUCUCGAAGUUGUUGAAGAAGUAUUAGAGAAGCUCAUGUAUUUCAUUUCACACCUCGCCUGAUCGUUUCCACUUUCCAUUCAGCUGUUCGUCUUUUAUUUCAACUUGGGAUCAUAAGACUGGUUGAGUUUUGCUAGUUUCUGUUCGUGAUUUAAACACCUAUCGUUAAUGACACCCUACAAUGGGGCCUCCCAAGGGGCGGUGGUUUUGACAGAAGAAACAAUAGACAUAGUAGGUCAGCAGGCAAGCAUCUUCUCUUGAUCGGAGCACUUUGGUUCUCUCCAUCACUUCUUCCGUUUUUCUUUUCUAGAUCAUCAGUUCAGUAUCAAAACUAAACCCAAACCAAAGGGAUUACUCCCUUGUCUAGAACCAGGAUGGAAAGUCUCUCUUUUUGGAAUAGAUAAAUUCAUUAAGUGCUUGUUGAUUAAUCGCAAAAGCUUGGAACUUCAUGGAUUUGGAGGAAUGUGCAGAAUCUUCUGUUCGAAGAUUGUGAUUUGUGAGUAAUGAGUAUGUUUUCUAUAAGAAAAAGAAAAGCGAGUGGAAAUCAACUUUGUUUUAACUUUUGUUCUCAAGAAAAGAAAAAAUUGCAUUUCUCUAGUUGUGUUUUUAUACAAAUGAAGGGAUAUGAAAGUGAAUUAUAAUUGUUUUUAGAUACUCUUUGUUUUUCUUUUUAUUUAUCGUUUCCUGCUUUCUUAUUUAUUAAAUUGUCUCAGGUGAAGAAGAAAAAGCAGAAGACCGCUGCAGUCUCUAAUUCAGGCGUAGAUCUGAAAUCCAUUAUCCAUAACCAUGCGUUGUUCUUUGAUAAGUUAGUGGAGCUUAUCCCGGUAAGGUUCUAUUUAUCUAGUGAUGAAAAAGGAAAACCUUGGUUUCAGGGCCUUAGCAAGAAAGAAAAGGCAAUGGCUAAGAAGGAAUCAAAGGAAAACCUUAAGAAAGCACGAAGAGAUCGUAUGGAUCCAGAAAAGUCUUCUAAAUCAACUGUUCAUUUGCUUAAAGAAAGCUUGGAAAAUGAAAAGUUGAAAAGUAAAAAUGACGAUGAUGGAGAUGAUGUUAAGCCAGUGGCAACUGGGUGGGACAGUGAUGACCAGUCAGUGACAUAUGAAGAACUGAGACAACGCCUUCAUCGAAAAAUUGAGGAGUUCCGGGUGAAUAGAAAUACAGGAUGUUCAAAUAGGGAAAAGAAGAGAAAUGAAAGAAACGAGAGAAGGGAAGCUAUCCAGAAGAAACGCAAGAGAGAAAAUGACUCUGACGAGAAGAAAUCAGUCACCAUGCCCUCAGAAAUUGAAAUGGAGAGGAAUGUAGUUGAGGCCUCCAAAGAACUUGCGUUUGGUCAUGUUAAACUGGGAACUGAAGAAGAGCAAGGUAAGAAUAAGAAAAAAAAACUCUCCAAGUUGAAGGAACUUGAAAAGGCAAAAAAGUUGGAAGAAGCAAAGAAAGACCCCGGAAAGGGCGAGAUAGUAUUGAAGAAGCAUUCUUGGCAAGCAGCAACAAGUAGAGCUGCUGGGUUUAAAGUUCAUGAUGAUCCACAGCGUCUGAUGAAGAGUUUACGGAAGGAAAAGAAACAACAGCUGAAGAGUGUCGAGAAAUGGAAAGGUAGAAUUGAAACCACCCAGAAGAUGAAAGCAGAAAGACAACAAAAGAGAUCUGAAAACAUAGCUCAGAAAAUCCAUGACAAGAAGAUGAAACGGAUUGAAAAGAGGGAGAAAAAGUUAAUGCGCCCUGGCUUCGAAGGUCGCAAGGAUGGUUUCAUUAAUGGAAGCAGCGCAUGAAGUGGAAAGAAGUGAGUGUAACCUUCGCAGUUUCUCCCCCAGUUUUGAGGUUUGAAUUUAAAUUGGUUAAUCUAUUCACACCCUUCAUAACUUCAUCUCAUGUAUGUUUAGGGAAGUUGUUUUAACAUCAAAGUAUGGAUUCAAAUUCAACAGUCAAAUCAGUUUUCUACCCUUGUUUGUUUUGACUAUAGUAAGCAAUUCAGCAGUUGCCCGACGAGAAGAAUUUAGUCCAUAAACUAAUCAGAUUCAUAACGUGAUACAAACGUUGAGAUCAAAUUAAUGCAAUCUGUUCAAGUUAUUCUUUACAAAUCAAAUGCUUCAUGUUGGUUGUCACCCAUGGUCUGAUGCAUUUAGCUCCAGAUGUUAAUUGUGUUUAAUGGCGAUUUGUAUUUUAUUAAUUACCAUGGCUUCUCUUCUCAUUUAAAGUAUUCAGUACAUUUGUCUUUUUGUUAUGACAAUAGCAGUUGGUUCAUUACAUUACUAGUUGUUUUCAUAUGUUUUGUUUAGUGGAUCGGCCCUUUUCACAUCUAAACACAAUGAAUUUGUCUAAGCAUAACAAAAAUAUGAAACCGCACAUCCUUGUUUCUAUGUGAAAGUUCCCAAUGGCUUAUUAAACAUUCCUACAUUGAUGGUUUUGAAAGAGAUCGACAGAACCACAAACUAUGUUAUACAUAAAAACAAAACAAGAAAAAAACAAACCCAACUGAUAUCAUACACAACCAUCCUUACUAAACCACCCUAGUUCCGGUUGUUCCUUUGGGAGGCUCGCCGGGAGCUGCUGUUCCUCCGCCCAUGCCAUAGUCGGUGUCCCAAUAACCAGGGCCAUAGCGGCGGCUGAAGAUUCCAGCAUGGAGCAAAAGCAGAUACAGAAGCUGAGUGAAAGUCAAGAUAAUUAUAAAAGCUUCCACCACUCUCAGCCUCCACCCUCUGUGGCCUCCUAUGUUGAUUUGCUUACAGGCCAACCUGUGGAGAGGGAAGAGUAACAAACCAAUGAUAUUGUUGUUGAAGGCUAUCACAGUCUAAAGAGGAGAAUAUUUUAUGGAGUCGAUUGAAAAUUACCCAAAAGCUAGAACAGUUACAGCCCAAGUGAGCAAGGAAGUUGAUCCUGCACCGGCGAGGCUGUCGCUCCUCCAUGCUCUGAUAUGGUAGAGUCCGGCCAGUUUUGAUGCUAUUCCAAGAACAGCCGUCAGCAUUGCAAAUGUCAGGAAAAACGGCGUCGCUCCGUUGCCUCCCAUACCUUGUGCAGUCCAAAACAAAACACCAUCAACAUCUCUUCUUUUAGUUUCAAGAUCGAUAUAUAAUCAAGUAAAGACACAAUCUCAAAGGUUCAGUCCGAUUCUUCACUGUCGAACUCAAAGAUAAAAUAUUUAGGACCAGUUUGGGAAACUGAGCAAUAUUUUUUUCCUCCUCAAAAUCACACAAUUACAGAACUGAUAAUAUAUGAUUUAGUUAUUUAAUCAAUUUUCUUUCCUUCGUCUAAUUUAAACUGUCAUAUAAAAUUUUCAAAUAAUAGGUUCAAAAGAUCAUUGAAAAUUUGGCUCAUAGUUUUGUUAAAUAUUUUUCAAAUUAUAAUAAGUUCAAUAGAUCCUUGAAAAUUUUGCUCAUAGUUCUGUUAAGGAAACAUGGUUUUUAGGAAAUUAUUCUAAAUAUUUAGAAUGUAAUAUAAAGGAAAAUUAUCUUUUAAAAAUAUUUAAGAAUAUAGCAAAACAUUACAAAAUAGAUACCAUCAUGAUAUUUGUGAAUUUUGGUAUAUUUGAAAAUAGUAAAAGAUUAAAAACACAAAAAGUACAUUAUUUUACGGAAGCAUUUGCAUUUAAAGUAAAAGCAAAAAAGAAUGAAAGCAUUUGCAUUUAAAGUAAAGGCAAAAAAAGAAUGGAAAGAAAAGUUACUUGGAUGGUAGGUAGUGCCAUUGAUGAAUCUAUUAAGACACCAACUAGCAAAACCCAAGAGAAUCAAAUACAUAAUCAAGUUAAGAAACAACAAUGGAGCUGCCAUGUUCCUUCCCAUUGUUUGAGCCAUCUUUUCUCUCUAACCACAACAAAAAACACUUUCAAAGAUGAAGAUGGAUAGAUAUUAUCACAAAUCCACAACAAAGAAAAGCAGAUAAGGCAAACCAAAGCGCUUUUAAUACAUUCCCUGUAACAACCAAAGUUUGUAUUUAAAUACACAUAUAUAGUAGAACCAAGCUUAGUCCCUUACAUACACGUGUGAACAAAAUGUCUUGCAUGCUUUCUCAUAGGUACACGUGUUGGGACACUUGUCAAUAACCUUCUCUUAUGUUGAUCAAACGGUGCAGGUUUCUGAUCCAGUAAGGUCUCAAUCAAAAAGUGCUUUUGUUUUGUGUUUCUUUGAUAUGGCCAACAGAAGAAUGAAUGAAGGAAUGUGAGAAUUAUGUCUGUUUCUAGCUGCUGCUUGUUUUAAUGGGAAUAAGUAUUAUGCAUUACUGUGGGAGCUGAGUUAUUUUUUUCUUUUUACCCAACAACAGAACUACUUGUAAGGUUUAUGAUUAGAAUUAUUUUUAUGUUGGGAAAGUGUAAUAAAAAUAUUCAUUCUACAACUACUAUCCUUUUUUUGUCAUGAAGGUUUUUUAAGGAUUAGAAACAAAAUGCUCAAUUUAUGAUUGGUCCUCAGUAUUUAACACUUUCCAAUUUCAACCAAUGUGCUAACCGUGAUGAUAUUGGAUAUUACAAAAUGGUAUUAGUGGAUAAUUUAUUUAGUUGGUAACAAAUAUAUCCUCUUUAGUUCUUGCACUCAGAUUCAUUGUUCUAGAAAACAAUUUAUUUGAUCCUACAAUACUGAAUUUGAGAAUUCAAUUCAUUCUCUAAAAUUAAGAUUUUUAUUAAAUAGUAAACCAAUUCAUUAUAGUUUGAAUAUCCAUCCCUAAUUCAAUGUCUCUAACAUGAUUGAUCCCUCUUUAGAUUUUAAAAGUUUGAUAUUUUUGUAAUAUUUGUGAUACCGUUUGAAGUAUAGUAAUAAUGUGACAGGUAAAACAUUAUAGAUAUUGUCAUUGGUUGUCCAUAAACAUUUUGUUGUAUUAGUUUAAUAUAUAUAUAGAAUAAUCUUUGAGCUUCUGAAUCACUCAAACUCUGUUUCUGUAAAAGAGCAGUCAGAUAUAAAAAGAAGAGGUAUGAUGCUUUUGACUUUAGAAUCAACAUAGACAAGUUUGUCUUACAAGGCACAAGGAAAGUUCAUACAGAUUUAGAAGUUGUGUUUUCGAAGCUGAGAAGGAGAAUUCAGUGUCCCGUUUUUCUCUAUUUCACGCAGCCUUGCUCUUUCCAUCUUCCUUUUGCGCCAUUCCUCCAGAGCUUUGUCACAAACCAUUCACACUUAUAUUAGAUGAGAUACAAGAUGGUGGUUCCGGCUAAACAAGUCGAUUCAACUUGCUUUUUUUUUGUUAGAAUCAGCAUCAAACUAAUAAUUGGCCUUAAGGGAAAAUAUAACCAAAGUUGAAAUGUUUAUAGGUUUUAACCUUUCACUUUUGAGUCUAGUACCAAUUUUGAAAAUUCUUUAAAAACUAAUUGGUACUUGAUAUAAAUCUCAAAUGUGUAUCUAGUAGAUCCACAAAAUUUUUAAAAUCCGAAAAAUUAGAGAGAUUUAACUUGAAAAUUCAAGUUUCGGAAUCAAGUUGGCAAAAAUCUCAAAGUCUAGGAACCUGAAGACAAACCAAAAGAAUUCAGUUGUUUUGAUUUACGGCUGGCAUAAAGGAGGAUGGGCUGGGAGGGAGAAGGUCUCAGAGCAGAAAUAUUGUACCUUUUAAACUAGAAGCAUCAUUGAGAGAACGGAAGUCUUUCAAUCUUUUAGAAAGAUCCAUUGCAGCAUUCUGCUUGGAGUCUUUGUCUUGUACAGCUUCUGUUUCAUAAUAUGCUUCCUCCUGAAUUUCCCUUACCUGAAGAAUUAUGAAGAUUUAAACUCCAAUGCAAAAGAAAAUUCCAAAUGUGCAUUGGCACCAGGGUGCAAACUAAAAAGGAGGGAUAAACAUAGUUCGAGUAAAUUCAAGUAACUAAGUCUAAAUAGUCUAGUCUUCAGUCGUUUGUUGUUUCUUUCUCCUUCCUUUUACUCAAGAGGUCAAACCAUGAGUAACUCUAUGGUAAUUGGCAUUUGCAUAGAACUUUUUCCUACAAAUUAGAGGUUCGAUCUCUCUCCCCACUGUUGUUUGUACUCAAAUAAAAUAAAAUAAAAUAAAUGAAUAAAAAGUCUUGAACUCGAGAGGCUUCGUUUUCAUUUUCUUGGAAUUAUCUUGUUGAAUUGACAAUUUACUCAUGAAACCUAAGUCUUAUGUUUUGAUGGGUUAUAGGGUAUGCUUGAUGAAGUGCUUACCCUUUUAAUCAGCUCCAAAGGUUGCAUAGAAAGUCGAAUCUCUUGAGCUUCCUUGAUAUAUUUGAGUUGAUCUGCAGUGCCAAUUUUCAGACGUUAUCUAAUUUAGCAAUCUAAUUGAGUUACACAACCACCAGAAACAGGAAAAUUAACAGCAAAAAUUAGAGAGCAUAAUCAAAGUAGAACAGAACACCAAAUUCAGACCACAAUUUGUUCACACAGCAAAGUUCAGAUAAUAAGUCAGAUUAGACAAAAAGUAUUCCCUUUACGCUUAGUAAUGUUUCAAAUAUCAAAAUAUUAAACUAGAUAAUGUCUGAAGCACUAUAUAAAUUCAUUACUAGCUCAAGGGUGAUAACAAACAAUCAGGGCAAAAAACUAUGCUCGUUCUUUCCUUCAAGCUCUACUGGGAAGGAACAGGCAGGGCUGCAGAAUUGCUUAAACUAAAAUGAUUUUUCUUUUAUGAAAUUGUUGUCUUGCAUUACCAGGUCAAGAGUGAUAAUAACAAUCGGGGCAAAAUAUACAGAGGACAAAGCAACACAUAGAACUGUGUUAUCGAAAUGGGCUGAACGUUGCAGGAUCAUUAUUUAUCCAACGUAUUAGCAAGCUCUAAUAGAAACACUUCCUAAAGAACAUAUCGAUCCAAAUUAUAUGCUAAGAGAAUUACCCAACAUUUGAGCAAGUUUACUGACUACAGCCAGCUUUUAGAUUCUCCAAGAAUAUGUGACGAAUGAAAAUUGAUCCAAUUAUACAGAUAACAAUGUCGCUAUGGCAUCACAUCACAUAAUGCCAAGUUAUAAAGUUUGAUGUGAAAUGUCAAAACAUAACAAUGACAAGCAAAGUUUGAAAGCAAGCUUUCGCACAUGGCAAGAUAAUGGUCGACCAUGAGCCUAAACUUGUCCCUUUUAAGAACCUCAAUUGAUUGCUUAAAGCAUGAAAGAGGUAAUCCUAUUUCAGUUCCAAACUUCUGUUUUGAAGGGGGGUCAAAGUUUUAGAUCAUUGUCUCCCUCUCACCUUUGAGUAAGGUUUUAAUCAGUUUGGAAGCUUACAAGUAUCGGACUUACUAUGUUCCCCACUUUCAAUCUCUCUUCUUUUGUGAAGGGAGAUAUUAGGCGCUACCACAAUCUUCUGAAGUUUCCACCCGUUAUCUCAACUCAAGUAAUGAAAGGUCAUACAAUAAUAGGACUCUCGAAAUUUGGAGAACACAUAGAUAUAAUGUUCCAUUCCAAUAACAGCCGAUUUUAUAACAGAAGAAACGGAAGUAAAAACUGAAAAUUUGAUGUUACAAUUGUGCUUUCCCAAAUUAGAUCACCUUCACUCAACUCCUACACGAAAUCUCUGCCAGAAAAUUUAAUCCAAAAAUGCAAGAUUUAAGAAUAAAAAAUUAUAGGUACAAAUGACACCUGACAGAGUAGGGAUUUCCAGGAAAGCCAAACAUGCAAAUAACAGAGGAUGCAAACAAGUCUUGGACACCAAAGUUCUUUUUUCUUUCUUUUCAUUCCCUUGGGAGUUUGUUCCAUAAACACUUCCUUUUCAUUUUAUCAAGGAAAGUUGUUUCUUGUUCCCAAAUAACAGAGGUUGCCAGCAAAUCUUAUAACCCAAUUCUGGACUAAUAUAAUCAAAACAACAAUUGCUGUUGCUAGCAGAAAAUUUCAGGUGCUUAUGAUAUUUGAGAGAGUCUGAACUUCCAGGAUAUCCAAAAUUACAAUAAUGAGAUAUCCAUUCCAUCUCAGCUACAGAUUUUUACCGAUUUACAAUGACAACUAGGGGAGAUCAAACUUCACAGUGCUAAUUUGAUCACAACAGAAGAAUGUAAAUGUUGGGAACUUAAAAGAAGACAAGUUUCAUUAUCUUGUUCAAGUCUACAACUGCCUUAGAUUCUGACUAACUGGAUUGAAGGAUUACAUUUCAAGUCCUCAAAGAUGCAAUUUCUUGUUUCCUGGUGGUACAUAUAUAACACCUUAAUCCUCAACUUAUCAAUCGCCGACAAGCAAUAUCCAAUUCAAACAACUACGUUAUCAUCUCAUGGAAUCAAAACUCAAAGCCAAGGAAAAAUCUCACCUAACUUCAUCAAAUCCCCAACAAAUAUUUCGAUUACUGCACAUGGAAUUUAUAAAAGAAAUUGGGAAAAGUAAAGAGGAGGAGAUAAGACAAACCCAGUUUGUGAUUUGUCGACAAGGGUCUGUUCCGUGAAGAAGCAACAGAUAAAAAACCCUGAAGCAGAAGAAAAGCAGCCACUAGGUUCAACAAGCACAAAGCUAUGGUGGCAUUCCUAAACGAGAACCUCAAUCUCCAUGACUGUUGGACCUCCAUUUUUUCUAUAGGUACUAUCAAUGGGUAUUCCCUUUACUUUCUCAAAUACCAUUCAACUGUUUACAUCGAAGCCGCAGAAAUUAGAAGCAACACCAGAGAAAUCUGCAGGUGAUGAUUUUGAAGAAAUGAAGGAAAUCAGUUUGGGGGUAAUUGAGAAAAAUGGGAAGAGAUUCGUAUAAAAACUCUCUCUCUCUGAAAUUGGUAGUGAAAACGAGAGAAAUUCUUCAAUUCAGUUCAACUGCUUCUCCUCUCUGUUCUUCCCUUCAUCUUUGGUUCCUUCCUAUUCUUUUUAUGUAUUAAAUAAUGUCUUAAUUACUUUGAUUAAACAUUGAUGAAAAGUGACAGCUACUUUGAUUUUACCAUGGCAACUACAACUACUCUCGGAUGGGGUCAGGUGAUUUGGGUUACUAUAGUCUAUGUUAAUAAUAGUUCGUCAAUUAGUACUUUAUUAUGCUAUGUAUUAUUAUAAGUGAGGUUUGGAUGUCGAUUAUUAUAUUUUGAGUUAUUAUAAUCCGUGCUUGGAGGUGCAUACUAUAAUUUAGGUUCAUUUUUCUAUUUUUUAAAUAUUUUUUUUGUACAUAUUAGAGGUGUUCGUGGUUCGGCUUAAAGCUAAAACCACAAAAUGAAAAAAAAAAAAUCUCAUUUGAAAGCAAACUGAACCGCUCAUCUAUGUCAAACCGAAUGAAAACCGAACCACUUGUACAUAAAUAAAACUGAAUCAAAACCGAACCACUUGUACAUAAAUAAAACUGAAUCAAAACCAAAUGGGUGCCAAAUAAUAAACCAGCAAUCAAAAUAGCCAAAUGAAUGUCAAAUAAUUAACUCAAGAUGCCAAAAAUUAAUUAAUUAAUAGGUCAAAUGGAAAAUAGGUAUUGCCAAAUAGAGGAUGAUAGUUAAUUAAUCAUGGAUAAUUAUUGAGACAGAAAAUGGGUGUAAGUAAUUUACACAGAAUGAAUGUGAGAUGGUUGCUAAAUAAUUAAAAGGAUACAAAUAAUUAAACUAUGUCAAAGCCAAAUGAUUGUCAAAUGGGUGCCAAAUGAUUAACCUAACAACUAAUUAAUUAGUGAUUUAAAUGAAUAAUUAAGACAUCACCCAAAUGGGUGCCAAAUAAUUAAUCCACUAUCAUCAAUCAUGAACAAAAAAAGAACUUACCAACACGUCUGCCUUUAAAUGCAAAAGGUUUUUUCUUGAUCCUCUUCACCUCUUCCCAAAUCACAGAUAAAAAAAAAAAUGUUUUACGUGUCCUCCUCUAUCAAAUCCUCCGAAAAAAUCUUCUCCCCCCAAUUGAAUUUCUUUUUUCUCUAUAGGGCUAGGUCUUAUUUUUUUUUAUAGUGAAAUGAAGUAGUUUUAGAUAGUGGAGUGGAGUGUAGCAGAGAAAGGGGAAAAAGGUGGGAGAGUGGGAGAGUGGGAGCGUGGAAAACAGAGCGUGGUGACGAAGAAAAACGAAAAUAGUGGAAUGGUUGAGAAAAAUAGAGAGGAGAAGAACUUUUAUUUUUAAUUUUAAUUUUAAAUAUGUUUUUUGUUUUUAUUUUUGUUUUAAAACAUAAAUUUAAAAUUUAAGAAUUAAUAAUUAAGAUUUAAAAUUUAAAAUUUAAAUUCAAACUCAAUUUUUUUAAAAAAAAUAAUAAAAAUAAUAAAAAAUACAUGACAAAAUAUGGUAUCUACCGUUUGCCCCCAUUGUCCAUCAUGAAAAUAUUUAAAUGUGGACAAAGGAAAUAGAUAAGGUAUUUGGGCCAAUUUUUUUUAUCUUUUGAGAGAAAAGAAAAAUAUCAACCUUAGCUCUAUGACUAGGUUUGAUAAAUGAGAGAAAGGACCUGAUGGACAGGUUUCAACCUCAACUUCAGAUAUGGACUCGAUUUAACCAAAUCUGAUAGACAUGCUUCGACCUCAGCCAAAAUUUCAUAAAUGAGAAAUAUUUGGCUCCUGACCAUAAGCUAAUUGUACUGGGGAGUACUUAUGAUAAGAUGUCGGUCUUAUGCAUAUAAGUGAUGCUGCAUGCAGAAUAACAUGACCCCAUACAGAUAAUGGAAGCUUUGCUCUUAUAAAUAAUGGUAUGACAAUCAAUUGUAAACGCUUGAUAAAUGAUUGUGUCAAACCAUUUUGUGUCUGAACAUGCAUGAGUUACAGGAUGUUUCAAUAUUUAUCCCAAUUGACAUGCAAUAAUUAUUAAAUGCUUGGGAUGUAAACUCACCAGCAUUAUAAAUCGAAUGUUUUUAUUGUAUAAUAAAAAAAUUGUGCUCUUAAUUUGAUUAUUUGAGCAAGUAAUCUUGCAAACGCAAGGUUUCGACUUGAUAAUAAACACAUAUGUGACAAUCUACUGGAUGCGUCAAUUAAAACCAUGAAGUAUCUAAAUGGUCCACUUGGUGGAUUAAUGGGUCCACAUAUGUUACCAUGAAUUCAUUCUAAAAAUGUAGGUGACUCAACUCCCACUUGGUUGGUGAUGACCUAAUAAUCAAUUUUCCUUGAGAGCAAGCAACACACGAUAAUUCAUUACAUUAAAGAAUCUUCUAGUUCUUCAAUAGAUGCCCAUGAGAAUUUUCAAUAAUUCUUCUCGUCAUUAUUGAUCCCGGAUGACACAAUCGAUCAUGCCAAACAGUAAACAUAUCUAAAUUUAUGAACUUCGGGCUCAUGGUUGCAUAUGUUUAAUUACUCGUAUAUGAGUAUAAUAUAAUCCAGAAAAAAAGCCGGCAGUGUUUCCAAUAUACGUUUUUUCUGUGAAACAAUAAAUGUAAUAUAAAUAUAUUUUAUAUUAUUUUUAUUGUUAGUUUCAACAUGAUAACCAUUUUUACGUAUAUCUUUGAAACUCAAUAAGUUUCUUUUUUACUUACUAGAGAACAAAGCAUUAUUAAUUGUGAAUUUUGUUCCUCUAGGCAAAAUAAGGUUUGCUUUACCAAAACCUUCAAUCGAAUUUGUAGAAUCUGAUAUUGUAUUGACAUUUGCUUCAAGAAUUGUCAAUGUAGAAAAAUACUUUUUAUUUUUAAGUAUUGUGUGCAUAGUUGCACUAUAUGCCAAACAUAAGUCUUCAUUAUUCAAAUUUGAGUCAGCCAAAAUAUGAGAAAUGUCCAUAACGCUUCAUAAAAAAGAAAUUAUAAUAAGUCUCAUGGUAAAAAAAAAAAUCUAACGUUGAAAUAUAAAUAAUUUAUAUAAAUUGAAAAAUGUUGAAUAGAGAAAACACCAAAAUAUAAUGUAAAUAUCAAUUUUGGACAUUAUCAUAAUUAAAGGAAGUAUUUUCCACUCCUUCAUUAACAUCAGUUUUCUGUUCAGGAGACUAAAAAAACCAGCAACAUCGAAAUGUGUCAUAUUCGAAGGGUCAUAGACAUCAUCUUGAUAGGCAAAGUUUACUUCCACGUUCUUCCAUUUUUCCUUUAAUGAAGCUUAAUAGAGGUCGACUAAGUGCUUGGACGUACGACAAGUACGAGUCCAAUGACCAUUCAUACCACAACGAAAGCAUUGAUUUUCACCACUUUUUAAUUUCUUAUUUUGUGGAGUUUUUCCUCUAUGAACAUCAUUUGUGGUUUUCUUGAAAUCUAAAUAAUUAUUACCACGGAAAGUAUAAUUACUUCUUCCUUUACCACGGUCACGACCUUGACCUCAACCACGACCUCGACUAUUAUUGUUUGAAGAUACAACAUUCCCUUCAGGGAAUGAUGUUGUUCCAAUUGGUCGAGAGUCAUGGUUUUUCAUUAAUAACUCAUUAUUUUGUUCAGCCACAAGAAGACAUGAUAUGAGUUCAGAAUAUUUUUUAAACCUUCUUUCUCGAUAUUGUUGUUGUAGGAGCAUAUUCGAGACAUGAAAUAUGGAAAAUAUUGUCUCUAACAUAUCUUCAUCAGAAAUUUUUUCUCCUUGUAACAAUAAUUUUGAACAAAUCUUAAAUAAUGCGGAAUUAUAAUCACUUAUUGAUUUAAAAUCUGCAACCUUAAGUGCAUCCAAUCAUAUUGAGCUUUAGAAAUAAUCACACUUUUUUUUUAUGAUCAUACAUUUCUUUUAAACUUUGCCAUAAUUUAUUGGGAUCUUUUACUGUAAGAUAUUCAAUUUUUAGUCCCUCAUGAAAAUGAUGUUGAAGGAAAAUCAUGACUUUUGUCUUUUCUUGACUUGAAGUCGUGUUUCCUUCUUUAAUUGUUUCUCCAAGAUUCAUGGCAUCCAAAUGAAUUUCAGCAUCAAGCACCCAUGAGAAAUAAUUAUACCAUUGAUAUCAAGAGCUAGAAAUUCUAAUUUGGUAAAACUAUAACAAAUAAAUUUAUUUAUAUUAGAAAUUUAAUAAACAUGUUAAACAUGCAUUAUAAAACAACUUAGAUAAAUAUCAUAUUAUGGAAAAUUGUGACAACAUACUUAUACAUAAUAUAUUAAAACAACAUGGUAAAUUGAUAAAAACAUUUAGAUAAUAAAAAUACUUACAAAACUUAUACUAAUUGAAAGUAGAUAUUUAAACUAUAGACACAAACCAUUAAGAACCCAUAAACUAUACAUAGAUCUUAAAAUAAUUGAAAUAAGAAUCAAACAUAAACAAUCACAUAAAUCAUAAAUAAAUAAGAUGAAUCAAUCAACAAUCUUAUUAUGAACUAACAAUAUUUUAACAAACAAUAAUUUUGUAAACAUAAUAUGUAAAAUUACAACAUGCAAUAGGUUCAAAAGAUUACCUUCUCAAACAUUUAAACUAUGCAUAAAGUUUAUAUGAAAUAGUUCAUGCAAUGUUCACAAGUACAAAACAAGAAAACAAACUAAUACUUUAUAGCCUACCUUUUGCAAAUGAUAAAAUUGUAGAGACUCGUGCUGAUAAUGUGUUAUAAAACAAGAACAAAGAAGCUAAAUAAGGAUAAUGAAGCAACCAAAGAGAAUAAGUAGGGAAUGGAGGAAGUAGAAAACAAUUGUACUCAAGUGUGGUGUGUCUUACAAAGGAACCACAUACCUCUAUUUAUAGGACAUGUCAUGGUAUGGGUUACACUAUGAAAUUCAAUGGGAUGAAAGUUACAUGAAAUAAAGUGAGAGUUAUAGGAAUAUUGGUAACUCUUUAUUGAAUCUGUUAUAGCAAACAAGGGCUAGUGGGUUUGUUUCCUCUUCCUCGGCCACGUCCACGACUAUUGAAGUUGUUUCCAUCUCCACGUCCAUUUGGGUUCAUACGACUAUUGAAGUUGUUUCCAUCUCCACGUCCAUUUGGGUUCGAAUGAUUUCCACCAUAUUGAUACGAGGAAUGAUUUCCACCAUAUUGAUAGGAGUUCUUAUUCUGCCGAUUGUCACCCCCUCUAUUGCGAAUUCCACCAUAUUGAUAGGAGUUCUUAUUCUGCCGAUUGUCACCCCCUCUAUUGCGAAUUCCACCAUAUUGAUAGGAGUUCUUAUUCUGCCGAUUGUCACCCCCUCUAUUGCGAACCAUAUUAACAGCAUGAUUAGAAAUAUCUUUCGUUGAGAGUUAUGAUGUUCAAGGCGCUCUGAUUGCAUAUCCAACCAAGAUAAUAUAUGUGACUGGAUUAUAUAUCUCAUCUAGCCCCAAUAACACCGGGCUCCUUCCCACUAGGUUGAUAGUCUUUUGGGAUGCCGAGCCGAAAGAUUCAUUGAUUGUUUUGAAAUGAGUCAUUGAUUCAAGGGAGAGUUGCUAAAAUUUGGAAUUGUUGAUGAUUGACUAUUUUCUCUUUGCUCUGAUACUAAGAUAAAUUUGAUAGUAUGGGGUUCCAUCUCAAAACCAAUUGGCAAUGUGAGGAGUAGUCCGUCUAUCCUAUAUGGAGUAUGAGUCCCCUUGGUUUUUUCCAAUGUAGGACUCUUAAUAUCUCCAAUACGCAAAAUUUGUUAUUUACGAACCUUGACUAACGAAUUAUUACUCCUGAGCAACCUGAAAUGAUCAUGAAAAAAAGAAAGAUUAGCCACCAACUUCUAAAAUAAAAGAGAACAAUGACAUUAGAAAGUAGAAGGAGGGAAGACAUACCAAUAUUGUUUAGUCGGAAGUCUACUCGUACAUUACAAGAAAAGUAAGAUAACAUUAAAUAGAAGGUUAAAAGGAAAAACAAAACAAAAAAGCCCAC
Molecule: long non-coding RNA, 56126 nt
Filed under: Cucumis sativus (cucumber)
Lineage: Eukaryota; Viridiplantae; Streptophyta; Magnoliopsida; Cucurbitales; Cucurbitaceae
Description: long non-coding RNA (CSAT_LNC000616)
Source: RNAcentral